CUACAUCACAACUGUAACAAAAUAGUUUAAUGAAUCUAAGCUAACUGGUUUCGUCAUUUGAUUUUCAGCUGUUUAUAACAAGGAAGAUGAUAUUGGAACCUAUACUAUCAAAGCGGUUGAUGAUCCCAGAACCUUGAACAAAAUCCUUUACAUUAAACCCCCUGGUAAUAUUUACUCAUUCAAUGAUCUUGUGUCCUUGUGGGAGAGAAAGAUUGGCAAAACCCUCGAAAGGGUGUACGUUCCGGAGGAGCAAGUCCUAAAGAAUAUUCAAGGUUAGCUAGAAUUCUUACUUUUUAAAUUUUAUCAAAGAGAGCAAUAAAUUUUGUGCCUUAUUAGUACUGCCUUCUCCGAAACGUUGCAGAAGCUGCACCUCCAGUCAAUGUGAUAUUAUCAAUUCAGCACUCUGCUUUCGUGAAGGGAGAUCAAACCAAAUUCCAGAUUGAACCAUCGUUUGGAGUUGAAGCCUCGCAGCUUUAUCCUCAAGUCAAGUACACUACAGUUGAUGAGUAUCUCAGUCAGUUUGUGUAACCCUUCUCUGUUGAGCUGCAGCUUGCAGGAUCUUGGGAAAUAAAUAAUUGGCUUGUUGCCAUCUUUGGUUUCUAUAUGUAAGCAUUAUGGUUGUUGGCCUUACUUUCGUUUGGUUCUCAAUGGAAUUUGUAACACGAUAUUAUGUCCGCUAUGUCAGUACACAGUGAUUAAAUAAAGUAGCUCCAUGUGCUUAAUCUAAAAAUAAUUAUAAAGUCACAAGCACCUAAAAGUUAAACAACAAUGAUAUGCUUACAACAAUGUGUACGACAUCUAAUACAACAAGGAUCAUUUUGCAAAAUAUGUUAAAUUUUAUUAAUUUCUUUGCUGCCCAAAGAUUUUUAUAUUCAUCUUAGGGACCUAUAAUCUUAAUGAAUCAUCUCUUCUUCCAUUUCUCCUACAUCUAUCCUUAAAGCCUUUUAAAGUUUUAACUAUUAUUUUAUAAACUUUUAAAUGAUUAUCAAACUUAUAUAGAUCUAUAAAUUCUAGAUGAGAUCCUAUAUUUAUGAUCAUUUACCUCUUUUGUAACAUGGACCAAAUUUUUUCUUUUAACAUUUCUAUACACACACACACACAUCUAUUUUUCCAACUAAGGAUUAUGUCAUCAAGGCUUUCACAGAGAGGUUGCAAUCUAAAUUUAGCUUCUUGAAUGAACAUAUUCAUAUUAUCAUUAUUAUUAUUCAUUAGUUAUGGUCGGUUUUGAGUUCUAUUAUUAGUUCUGCACCUAUCUUGUAUUAUUUCAAGACUAGACAAAAUUGAUUCCAUUAAUGCUAUCCUAUUUUCCUCUUCAAAGGAAUCAAAUACUUCUUGGUCGUUAUGGAUGUUAAUUCUUUUCAUUUCUUUGGACAAGCGCUUGCUUGCAUUCGAUCUGAUUUUAACAAUAGAAAUUGUAUAAACAACUUGAUAUUCUUAACUGAAAUAUAAAUUAUCAAUUGAAUCUAAAAACUUGUUAACAGAUGUUUCCAUUUUUUUGAAUUUGAGUUAAUCUUAUCACUUUUUUUCUUAUAAAAUCUCAAAAAACAAACAAGACCCAAUAUACUUCCGUUUGUUGCUAAAAUAAAAAAAAAGGUUCAAAAUUACUAUCUCUCGGAAUUCUAAGAUAGAUUCACUAAUUGCCUCCAACCAUAGAGAGGUCCAUAGUCAGCACUGCUAUAAGUCCACACAUCAUGUAAGAUCAACUUAGCAACUAUUCUACACGGCCUAAUGCAACACAUAGCAGUUUGGCCUUGUAAGAUAUGUCUAAGUGAAUUUCUUGCAAUUGUCUCUGGAAAAGUACUUAAUAACAAGAAAUCUUCCUCGUCUAACACAAGUAUUGGCCUGUAAGCUUCUUAGUUAAUUUCUAACAAAAUAUAUGAUAUCAGGAAGAUGAUAAUUUCACUUAAAAGAGUUUUUUAUUUAUUUUAUAACUAGAAAUGUUUGCAAAGGAAAGUCAUAGAGAAUACAAAUGUGGGUGAAGGUUUAGACAUAUGAUGUCCUCCAUUUCUUACAUGUUUCGAUUUAUAAGCUUGAAGAGAUAAUAUUAUCUCCUCUUACAUGACACUUGUUAAAUUUUUCUAGUGGAUUGUGGAUUCCUUUAUGAUAAGGUGACCCCUAUCUUCUUCUAUCAUUAAAGACAUAUGUUGUCAUCUUUUUCUUAUUGACUAGCAGCCUUCACAUGGUUAUGAUAAGCUUUAUCUUUUUGGAAUCUUUUCUUAUCUUUUCACAUGCCAAUUAUCAGUUCUUCAUCUAGCGGCAUGUCUUCCCCAUUAGAUUCCCAUUUUGAUCCUUUGUAGCAAUAACCAUAUGAUGACUGAUGAUUUAGCACCUUGCAUACCUCGUGGUGUGUUAGCAAGCUAGAUUCCACGAGAUUUUCAUAGAUUGCAUUUUUCUGUUUUAGUAUUGCCUAUUGUUGGAUAUAAAUUCAAUUGUUAGUGGUGUCAAUGUGCAAGUGUACACAACAAGUAGUAAAGUGAUGAGUAAUCAAGAUCGUAUCCAUAGGGAUUGAUGUUAUUAGACUUACUACAACAAUCUUAACAGUGCAGAUUUUUUUUCUAAAUUAAAAUAAAUAAUUGAUGAAACUAAUGUACUAAUUAAAAUAAAAACACAAUAAAUAAAAUGCAAUAAAGUAGAUUAUCACGUCAAAUUCAAGGAUAAAACCAAUGGGAAUAUAGAAUAGUUUAGUGAAUAAACUCUCUUAAUGGUCUUGACUAUUUUCUAAUGUUUGGCUCGGUUGUUGCAGCAUCUGCUAUAGCACUGGGAAGAAUCCUUAUGUAUCCUCAGCUGUCGCAUGUUGGAUGUCUUAUAUCUAUAUGCAACUUAAUAGUGAUCAAUUGUUAUGCCAACAUAAGAUAUAGCAUUACACGUUUAGGUUUUAAUUACCCUACAAGAUUGAUUAACACUAAAAAGUGUACGUGUAAUAAGGAUAAAAUUAUUAGUUUUUCACUUAAAGUGUUGAUUAAUGCACGCAUAACUUAUAAAUUAUAUGAAUGCACCCCAAAUAAAUUUUUGUGUUAAAUUAAUUCGCAAUAUGUUAAUUUUUAUCUUAUAAAUAUUUUUCAGGAAUAAAUUAGAAUUGAAAGCGGGAACAAAGAAGGACUGCUGGAGCAAUUUGGAAGCAUUAUUGAGGAGAUGUAAAUAAAGAAAAAAAUAAAAAAUAAAAAAUAAAAAAUAAAAAAUAAAAUAUAAAAAAGAAAAUGAAUAAAAAAAAUAAAAAAAGAACAAAAACCAAGCAAUUUAGUUUCUCAUGAUGGCCACUUGACCAUUACACAUUUCAAUGUACACAUAUAAUAAUAAUAAUAAUAAUAAUAAUAAUAAUAAUAAUAAUAAUAAUAAAAUAAAUAAAGAUAAUGCAUUCCUUGCCUAUAAAAGGCAAGGAAAAGCAGAGAGCUGGGCAUUGAGAAGUUAGAGAACUGAGUAGAGACAGCUUAAGCCGAAAGAGAAUAGAGUGCAGCUGAGGAAUUGUGUCUUUUUCUUCUUUUGUUGUAAUCAACUUUCUUGUAACGUAUUUCCAAAGUUUAUCAAAUAAAUAGAGUGUUGUAUUUUCUUUCAGUAUGAAUGACUAAUUUUAUUAAGCUGAGGUGAAGAGUGAAGCUCAAUAUUUCAAACUAUUAAAUUUAUUAUUUUCUCAAAUGAGUUUUAAAGUUUAUUUUGUUCUUUUCUAGUUAUUUUUAUGUCAUGUUAAUUUAGAAAUUUCUUUAGGAUUUGUAUAGUAUUUUGACACAAUGUCGACACAUUAAUAUAGUGUGGCAUAUUAGGUACUUUAUUCCAUAUUUAUCCACACACAUAGAAUUAAAUGAUAUAAUAAUUAACUGGUAAAAGUGAGGUAAAAUAUAAAUGCGAGAGUAUUAAAAUUAUAGUUUGAAUACUGAGAGUGGAUAUUGUAACCUUAGUAUAUUUUUAAAUUGUUUUCAAAUAAUUUAUUUUCCCACAAUUAAUUUUCUUUGUUUAAUAAAUUGACAACUAGAUUUUAAAAUUUCCUAUGGUUCGACCCCGGACUCACGGGUUAUAUUAUAAUUAGACACUCUUAUACUUGGGAGUAAUACACUUUUAAGUUGUGUCAAAGGUGAAUCUCUAUGUCUAGUUCAUCACUAAUUUUAGAUUAAGCAUGACCCUUUUGGGAUUAAAUAAAACUCAAUCCAAGAAACCCAAUCUAAUACCAAGUAUUGCUAUGAUAUGCUUCACUAAGAUAAGCCCUUGUGUGGCUCUUUUUUAGCUAGUAUCAUUAAAUGGGUGAUCAACCGAAAUAAAUAAAAAUAAAUAUUAUCAAAAUAAAAUAUUACAGCAAACAUGCAGCAACUCAUAUAUUCAGUCAAUAAACCAUCAAAAUUGCUUAUCACUCAACCACAAAUAAAUCUAGUUCACGGUUUGAAAAAGAAAAAUAAAGAACAAAGUUUUAGCCAUCAAACACAUUCCCAUGAAUAAAAAGUAAACAUGAAAAUAAGAGAAGAAUAAAAAGGACUGAGUUCCCGCUUGAUUUCUACAAAUUCUCCUCUUGUGCAGCCCUUAAUCUCUCUCUUAAAUUUUUUUUUCUUUUGUUUCUUUGUGGUUUUUCUCCUUGGGUGACAGCUCUUUCUUUUCAUUAUGAUGUGUGCUCCUUUUGUAGUUGAAAAUUAGGGUAAACAGAAGCAUAGGUCGUGCAUAAGUCAGAUUAGGAAAUUGCAAAUCACAAUAUUCUGUAAAAUUUUCUCUGUCAUCGUUCCAGAAUUGCUACAGCAACGAAUGUUAUGCUGCAGCAACGAUUGCUACAGUAAUUACUACAACAACUGCACUGUUCUAGAUUUAUUUCAAUUCUUCUGUAGUCAAGUUCUUUUUCAUCUUUUACAAGACUAUUACAACAACAUUCCUUUCUUGAAAUUUGAGCUUCCGGUCACCUACAAUUAUGCAUAUAAUUUAAGCACACAAUUUAUUCUAAAUCAAACAAAAUUUAUGAAGAAUAAACUAAGAUGAAUGAUUAUGCAAAAUAUAACUAAAAUGCAAUAAAAAAACAUGUUAUUUACUCUCAAAGUAAUCUUGAUUUAAGUCUAAAAGUGUCAUGAUAACUCUCAUUUUAUAAAGUUAUCACCUAUCUGGCUAAGAUACUUUCUUUUCUACUAAAAAAAAAGAUUAUAUGGUCCUUUGUGGCUUCAUGGAGCCAUAUUUUUUUCUUACUUAUCCUCUCGAGAAAUUCAUGGAGGACUUUCAUUUAAAUGAUCUCUUUGCUCGUGAGAGCUUUAGGCUCGAAUAGUUUGGGAUAAUAAUCAUUGUAGACCUGACCUACAUCAACAGUUGGACUAACUUUUUUACUACUAAUCCCAACUUAUAUCUAUGUGCUGCACUGGAUACCAUUUGUUAUUACAGUGUUCAGGGAAAGCAGUGAGAAUCUUGAAAAAAAUCAUAUCUCUUGUUUUAGAUAUUCUUUUGAGAUCACUGACAGCCUUUGUAAUUUUUUCGGGGAGCUUUUUUAAUUCCCUACAUAAACAAGGUUAAAAAAACUAUAUUCAAACAUUUCUUUUAUUAAUUUUGCAUCAGCUUCUGGACCAAAGUUAAUCCUUAGGUAAUAUCCUAAAUGAUUCGGUAUUAUAGCUUGGCUAGGACAAAUCCCAUAGGCUAUUUUACCAAUUAUUUUACAAUCAUAAGUGUAAUUGCUUCCUAGUGGAAUUUUAACCAUUAGAAUGGAUUGUUCGCUUUUAUCAUAUUGAGGCCUUAAGCUCACUGAAGAGGUUUAAGAUUCUUUUUUCUUUUGAGUUAUAUGAAGAACUCUAGGUAGUCUGCCCUUCAGUUUGAUCCUUGAAAUGGAUCUUUUUUAGCUUAUUACUAAUAUAUUGUUAUAAAGUCUGGACUUCUGGAUGAUUUUGCAAACUUUUGUCAGGGCAAAGUCAGCUCAAUUCUUCAUGGGCAGCAUUAAUCAUGACAAGCCCAUCAUAAAUCAUACUAUUGCCUUUGAGAAGCAAUUCUUGUCCUUUAGAGCACAUCAUUAUGCCCUUAAUUAUUUCGGAAAGACUCCUCUCCAUGUAUUCUCGGCUAAGAAAAUCUGCAAUACAAGGGUUAGGUCAUUUAAUAUAUUCAAUUCAAAAAUCAUAUUUAGUAAAGAACUGCCGCCAUCUAAUUAAUCUUUUAUAUUAAGGGAGAUUAGACAAUUUAUUAAAUAUAAAUCCUUUGACUCAAGUGUUAUUAGAUCUUACCUUGAAUUUCUUUGGUAGCAAAAAGAAAGUAAAUUUAGUUAUUCCAUUUUUAAAUAUAAAUGUUUCGCUGACAUAUCUGCAAAUCUUUUCUUGAUCUAUUUUUAAAACUGCACCCCAAUGAUUAUCUGAAGCAUUAGUUUCAAGAAUUAAAUUAUCACUAGUGGUAGGAAAUCCUAAUCUUGGUAGAUUUUUACAUUUUUCUUUUAAUCUUUUUCCCACUUUGGUAUAAAGAUCUUCCCAUGAUUUUAUAUUGUUCUUUUUUAAUAAUCCUUGUGAAAGUUGUUUUUCUUUAACUAAGUUUUAUAUGAAACCUUCAGCAUAAUUAAGGCAUCCUAAAUAUCUUUGAAUUUGUUCUUUAGAUUCUAAUUUAUCUAGGAAUAAAUAUAUAUUUUCAAAAAUAUGAGGUUGCAUCUCAAUACCUAUUUCAUCUAUUAUUAAUCCUAGAAAUUCUAUUCUAGGUUUCAUUAUUUCGGCUUUCUUUUUAGAAAGUAAUAUUCCAUGUUUCUUUCAUUUUUCUGUAAAAGAAACGAGAUGAUUAAUAUGAUCUAUCUCAUUAUCUAAAUAUAUUAGAAUAUCAUCCAUAUAAACAAUGCAAAAUUCAUGAAAUUCUUUGAAGAUUUUAUCCAUCCUUCUUUGAAAUAUUUGUGGUGCAUUUUUUAAUCUAAAAAGCAUCACAAUCCAUUUAUAUUGUCCUUAAGGUGUACUAAAGGCAGUAAGUGGUAAUACUCUCUUCUACAAGUUUGAUUUGCCAAAAUCCAUAUUUGCAAUCAAACUUGCUAAAUAUCUUUUUAUUAAUUACAAAGGUAAUUAAUAUAUUUUUAUGAGGUAAAAAGUAUCCAUCAAAUUUGGUAUAUUUAUUUAAUUAUUUGUAGUUAAUAACCAUACGAGCUUUUCCUCAUUUAAUCUCUACAUGAUUCCUAAUCAUAAAGAUUGUACUACUAUGAGGACUUUUAAAUUAUCGAAAAAUCUUAAGUUCUAAUCUCUUUAAUUUGUUUAUCAAUUUUUUGUCUAUCUUCUUGCCCAUAUCUCAUAGGCUUAACACAUAUAAUAACAUUUGGAUCUUUUAAUUCGAUCUUAUCAUAUGCUUUAUCAAUUUCCCAUAAUUGAAUGGGGUUUUCACCAAAAUUUUUAUCAAGUUUUUCUAAAUUUUUUUCAUAAUUUGAUAUGAUUUGAUUGAUUUUUAUAGCAUAAUUACCACGCUAGUUGUGUUGAAAAUGUAAUUUUUGAGUUGUUCACCUAACAGGGUUAUAAAUUCUUGGUGUAGUAACGGAAUGAUUACAUGAUGUUUUAAGAAUAAUUAUUUCGUUAGUCAUUGUAUAAAUGAACUGAUGAAGGAAAUUAAUUCCUAAAAGUAUAUCUACACAUAUAUGAUCAUAAGACCAUAAUAUAGGGAUACUUAGGAUAUAAUCUUCUAUUUGGAUUAAAGUCUUAAUCCUACAUGUCCUUAAGGUGAUCUAUUUAACAUUUAUUCCUUGUCCUGUUAAAGGCUUAUAAUCUUUCCAAUAUGAUUUUGGAUAAAACCUAGAAUUAGCUAAACUAACUCUUGAACCAGUAAUAAUUAAAGCAUGAAACCAUUCUCGCUUAUGCUUAUAGUAUGGUAUGAUCAUUUUUAUAUGAACUACAAAAAGAUUAGACAUAUCUUGAUAUGGUUUGCUUAAUCCCUUCAAUUGUUAUGCUUAUUUCUCUAUCUCUUAUGCAAUAAGGAGAGAAAUUUUCAAAAAAAAUUCAUCCCUAAUAAUAAAGGAUUUAUUUUUGUUUCAUAAUUUGAUUCUAUGAAAAAAAGAAAGAUAAAUUCUAUUCCUUUUAUUCUUAAUGGUAUUUCACACUACUGACUUAAUGUCUUUCUUUCUCCAUUAAAGCCUACAUAUGUAUGAGGUUCAAUUAGAAUCUUUCUUUCUAAAUAUUUAAUCAUUUUGGCAUCAGCAUAAGAUUUUACUACUCCUGUAUCAAGGAUAGCAAAAGUCUCAUGGCAUGAUUUUCUAUUAUUCUAUUCAAUCUUGAUUUUUAAGUUUUGAUUAUUUUUCUAACUGUGGCCGAUAUUUCAUGUGAUAGUGGUAUGACAAGAUGGUUACAUCUAGUAUAACUUUGGGUUCUACUUAAUUAUGGUUCUAUUUUGAGUAUAGAGAAUGAUCUUCUAUUUCCUAUGAUGAUUCUUCCUUCUAGAGUAUAUUCUAUGGGUUUAGUAGUAUUUCCCCUUAUCAGAGUAGGUUGACUACUUAGAUCCAUUUCCCAUUCUUCUGGUAAAUUUAUUUCUCUUAAAAUUUUAAGAGAUUGUGUCAUUCCAACUUUCUUAACUAAUUUAUCUAUUUCAAUAAAAUCUUUAUUAGCAAACAUUUCACUAUUGGCUGAAUUUGUUAAUGCAUAUUCUAUGGCAUACGUUAUGCUAUAUGGAUAAGAUCUAUCAUGCAUUAUAUCAAAGUAUUUAAAAUUACGGCAUAAGGUUAAUUUAUUUAUAUUUCUAUCUCUAAAACUUAUAGAAUAUAUGGAAUAUAUCUUAAAUAUCAAUUUUUUUUUUAUAACUCAAGUUCUUUAUAUUAUUCCAAGGAGUGCAUGUUUUCGAUCUUUUAUUCUAUUAUCAAGUACUGCUAAAUUUACAGGACUAUCUAUUUCUUUUCGAAAAUGAGCUUUUAUCAUGACUUGGAUUCUUCCAAUAUGGACAUAUCCAAUCUUAGGUCUGUCGCUAGAUUUUAUCUUUUAUAUCAGAUUUUAAUAAUAAUGGUAUAUUUUGUAUUUCCCCUAGCAUACCUAAUUUCAACAAGCUCUUCUCACACAGUAGCACUAGAAUACGUUAUAUUUUUUCUUUUAAUCAUGUUAGCAAUUCCUUGUGCUAACUUAUUAAUUGAAGUCAUGGAUGAUUCUAAUCCUUUUUUUUUAAUCUUAAGGUAUUGUUUUUUUUAUCAAAGAUUAAUUCUCUAUUAAAAGAACCUUAUUCAUUAAUUCUCUAUUAAAAGAACCUUAUUCUUCUAAUUCUUCAUCCUGAUAUAAAUCUUUAUUAUCUUGUUCUUCUAUACUCAUUCUGAAUCUGAACUACUUGAAGUUUCUUCAGAAAGAUAAUAUAUAUUAUCGUUUUCACUAAUAUCUUCUCUAUUUGUAAUUAAUUCUAAAUUGUUGAAAUCCUCAAACAUCUUUAUGUUUGCUUUCUUCUUUUUAGGACAUUCGUUUGCAUAAUGCCUAUCGUCAUUGCAUAACCAACAUUUAGAUGCAUUGGUCUUAGAUUUUCUUUUAAAUUUAUUUUUCUUGUAGAAUUUCUUCUUAUAUUUACUUUUGUUGUAAUAUUUCUUGUUGGUUUUAAAGAAUUUCUUCCUACGUUCAUAGAUUUUAUCUGAACAUCCAAAUCUUGGUGGAUCUUCUAACUUAGAACAACAUAAUCCUCGAUUUUGCUUUUUUAUAAGUCUUUUAUCUCUUAUUUCAGCACACCAUUCGCUGAUUCUAUUUCCAGUAAAUCUGAUCUUAUUUCCUAAGGUAUUAGUUUUCGUUGUAUCUUCAUAUUUCUUGUUAUAUUCUAACAUAAUCUUUUUCCCCUAUAGGUCUGGUAUCUUUAUAAAAUAUAGAUCAUUAUAAUAGCAUAUGAUAUUUUCAUGUUUAUCAAAUUCACAUUUAUAAUAUAAUUUUUCGAGGCUACAUGUGUAUUCUUCUAAAUAACAUAUAUUACAUAUUUUAAGCCUUAUUAGCUUUAUUACAUUUUCCAUCAUUUUCCUCUUUAUUUCCUGUUGAAAAUUAGUUUCCUAAUCUUCUCCUAAGAAUUCUUUCCUUAUUUCAUUUUCAAAUUUAUUUACGACUUGAUCCAAGCUUUCGUCAUGAUCAUUAUUUUCUCCAUAUAAUAUUUUAUUUUUGUCGGUAUCCUUUAAUUCCAUAAACCAAUGUGACACUAUUCCUAUAAACGAAGUUUUAAGAAAUCCUAUACCAUUAUUUCUAUCUAUUUUGUUAAAUGCAAAUGCCUUUUUCAUAGAUUUAACCCAAGCGGUAAUCGUUUAGUCUCUAUCUUUGACACAGUCUAAAUCCAACCAUACUCCAUCAUAGUUGAUUGGUCUGUCUCUGUAUUCUCUUGGAGUUUUAUAUAUAUUUUUUUAGGUUUGUUAACCCUAAAAUAUUGACCUUGUGGUUUUCAUGAGUUGGUAUUUCUUUCCUAGCAUAGGAACCUCUAUUACUAGAUUCCCUUUGUUCAAAGACCCUUGGCUUUGAUUCAUUCAUUUUUAAAUGUUCUAUUCUAUUUUCAAUAUCUUGUAAGUUAAUAAAUACAUCUUCUUCCUCUUCAGAUUCAUAUUCUUUAUCGGAUAUCUCUGGAUUAGAUAAUUCUUUUAAUCCAUUAUCUAUAUUUUCACUUAACAUCCUUAAACUUAUUAAUUUUUAUCUUCAUUUAUUUUGUUAAAUAUUGGUCUUGAUAUUGCUACCAUUUUUUUAUUUUUCUUUUCAUCGUAGUAAAUUAUGGUAUCUUCUAAAAUUUUAUUUUUUUCUUGAAUUACCAUGAGUAGUUCUUCCAUAUUGUUACUAAUCUUUUGUACUUCAAUCCUUUUGUAAUUUUCCAUUUAUACUUAUUGCAAACUUGUUACCAAGUUGUUCAAUGAUUUUUUCAAUUUUAUAUAAUUGAAUUUCUAUCUUAUUUAAUUUAUCUUCAAUUAAAUUUUUGUUCAUGACAUUAAAGAUUUCUUGUCUGAAUCUAAUCUUAAUCUUCAAUUUUGAAGUCUUUUAUUAAUUGUUUGACUGAAUCAAAUUCUUCACUUAUUUAAUCUCCUAACAUUUUAAUUUAUCUUAUAUUUUGAGCAUUAAAACUUUUAAUUUCAAGUAUUUCAUUUGUACUUUCUAUAUCAUUUAUGGUUAAAUUAUGAUUUCCUAAUUUAUUUAAUAAACAUAGUGAAAUCCAGUUUAACUGAUUAUUUCCCCAAAAAUCAGAAUCAUUUACCAAAUUAAAUGGUUGAAAUCUUCUAUAAGUAAAUUCUCUAUGCCUACAACUAGACGGUGGAAAUUUAUAGGUUUCUAUGUUUUGUGAAAUUAUCAAUGGUUCUAUAAUUUAUUCAUAGUACCAUCUGCAUAAUAUUUCAUUAUAUGCUAACAAGUAUUUGUGACAUAUAAUAUCUCUUAUAUCGUUAGGAAUAUUGUUUUCUUCUAAUCCUUUAUAUAUAUAGCAAUAUACAUAAUAAAAUUUUUAUAUCCUAUCAGCAUGUUACUAGAAGGAUAGUAUUUACUUCUAAUCCUUUUAUUAUUCCAAUUGUAUUCAUUUCUUUGCUUAAUAGUUAAAAAUAUAUUAUAAUCAAUCACAAGUUCGUCUGUAUAAUUCUCAACAGAAUUAAUAUUCCAUUUUUUUUCAUGAAAAAUUAUUUCUAUAAACCUCUCUCCUAGUUCUCAAUAGGAGAAUAUGAUCUAUGUUUAAAUUUCUAUUCUUUAUUAUUAUGAGUUCUCCAAUUCUAAAUUCAUGAACUUGGGAUAAAUACAAUUGUUCUAAUUGUUUAUCAUCCAAUCUAUUUUGUUUUGAAUAAUAAUAUUGUGUAUGUUUAGUUAUGUUAUCCUUAAUUGUAUUACUAUCUAUCAUUAGAUUCUAUCCUCCAUUAUUUAUAAAAUAAACAAUCGUUUCUUCCAUUUUUAUAUUUUGAACCUAAAACUUGCCUUUGAUACCAAUUUUGCGAAUAUUUUUCAACCCAAAAUUCAAAUAAGGAUGUAAAUGAUUAAUUUUUAAAACUUUAUGAAUGCUUUGUAAUUUUGUUUUAUUAAAAGACAGUUUUAUGCAAAGUAUUGUGCAAUCUUUUGGAAGAUUGUCUUUUUCCGAAGUUAAAAGUAAUUCAUCAAUAUUUGACAUGUCAAACGCAGAAAUUAAAAGUAAUUCAUCAACAUUUGUCGUGUCAAAUUUACUUUAUGGAGGAGAAAUUGUAGGAACCAAUUUUAUGGGAUAGAAAAUUCUAGAAAUCCAAUCGAAAGAUAUUUAAUAAAUAAUUUUGUAGUAGAUUAUGUUAAAUAUAAUAUAUAAUAAAUCCAUGAGUUGUCACUCAUGACAAUUCAAUUAUUUAGUUUUGACUAACAAUAUUAUUACGUAUAACGUUAAUAUAACAUAGCAUGAGCCAUUUUAUAGUAUUAUUUUAACUGAAUUGAAAUUCUCGAAAUAAAAAAUUGAAAAGAAUGAACCUGGUGGUUGUUGUGAACCAAAAACAAGCCAGUAUUAUGCUUACAUCAUUCCAUUCUACAGUAAAGGUUAUUUAUAAUCAUAAUUAUAGCACCAAAUUAAUUGUAUUAUUAUAAGAGGUUAUAACUUAAUAGAUGUGUAAUUAUAAAAAUUAUUAUUUUAACUUAAUUAUUUUUAGUGCCAGUGAUAUGGAGACCAAAUAUGCACUAUAUUGAUAAUUAAUUAAUGUAGCAUGUCAAAUUCAAUUUAUAGACAAUAAUGAAAGAGAUACACAUAUUUAAAAAAACUAGUACGUAUAUUAUGUAAUAUUGGAAUUAUGCAAAUUUAUCUUGAAAGUUUAAAGAAUAAAUCAUUGUCCUAAAUAAUUUUAGAAAGUUAUUUUACUCCAUCUUAAACCUUUAAUACAACAUGGCAUUUUUUUUUAACAAUAUACCAAUAAUUAUUAUUAUAUAAAGGCAAAUUUCUUAAAAUCAUAUUUAAAAAAAUUAUAAUUCAUUAUAAUAUAGAGUUUAUUCUUAUUUAUAACUACUAGGCUUAAUAAUAGAACGAGUUGUACCCGAGCCAUGCCAAGACCUAGCCCAACCCUAUGACUAGAAUGAAGGGAUCUUUUUAUCAUUAUAAUAACUACCUUUCAUCAAUUUUUUUUUUAAAACUAUAUAAAGAUUAUUCUUACAUGAAGUAACAAUACAAGGCCCUCAUUAAGAAAUGAACCUGGACGACAUUAGGGCCUUUAUCCACAAACAAAAUUUCAAAACAUACUUAAAAAAAAAAAUCCAACACAUCCGUUAAGUACAACUUUAACAUGGUCACAUGAAAUUUGUGGGGUUAAUUUAUUUAAUUGUAUGCACCCGUUUGGUUUCAUUGAUCUCAUGGCUCAGGUUGAUAGUUAUUAAGUUAUGAGUCAUGAUUACCUAAAAUUUAUUUGGUUAUCCGUUAUUCUAAUGUUGUAUUUAAACCAUAAAACUAGAGAUAACAAAAUUUAUGAGAAGUUUUGUCUUAUCACAAUGUCUAUUACUGAAGAACGUAGUCCUCUUGAAUAACCAUGAUAAUUUAUUUAAUUUCUUUUGCUCUAUCUUAAACAUAUUAUAAUUGUAGUCAAAGUUUUGAUAGUAAAAAUAUAAAUAAAUAGAUAAAACAAAUGUGUCUAUUUCCAUAACUAAAGGGGUGUAUAUAUACAUUUGGACCAACCGAUAAAAUUUAGAUCAUGACAUUAGGUGAAAAUAAUCUUAUUUUAUUUUCUUUAGAUUAUGUUGGAGUUGUAACUUGCAAUCGAACAAUUCUCGAUUGAUUUAACAAAUGACCUUAAGGCCAUGUUUGCUUGGGGUAGAGAAGUGGGGAGAGGAAAAGAAUUUGAUUUCUUUUAUACUUUCCAUUGUUUGGUUAGACUAAAUUUAAUGGAAUUGAAUUUCCAUCAAUUUGAAGAAUUUGUAUUCCUUAUCAAUGAAUAAGGAUUUCAAAUUCCUUAUCUAUUUAAACACAAAAAUUCUAAUAUUAUCCUCUAAACAAAAUCAAUUUUAAAUAAAUGAAAGUAAAAAUAAUUUAUAUUUAUUUUCUUAAAUUAAUAGAAUAAACUUAUUUGAAAAAAGAAAAAACAGUAAAGGGACUCCCCAAAAAGUCACCGGAGUUUCGCCGGAGACGCGCUUUACCAUCAAAACCGGUACCGAUGGAAUCCUUAUGAGUCAAUCUACAACUCUAUGGGGUUAGAAAUGCUAAUAUACAUUGUUAUUUACCUCAAGUCUUAUUUAAAUGUUUGGGAAAAUUUUAACUCUCAUAUUUCCAACUAUAUAGUGUAUUUUCUUCAAAAUUAACAUUUCUAAUGAGUAAAUCAUCCAUUUAUGAUCAUUAUUAUGCAUUUAACGCGAUGAAAAAUGGAGGUCAAUGAUGGUCAAUGGCACCGGUCAAUGGUGGUUAAUGGAGGUCAACGUGGCAGCUGUCCAUGGCCAAAUGCUGUCAUUUUUAAAAAAAAUAAAAUUUUUUAUUUAAUUAGGUAAUUUUUAGAUUAAAUUAAUUCAUAAUUUUAUUAUGUUUUAAUUUAUUAACAAUAUUAACAUUAAAGAUAGUGGGUAUAUAUUUGUCCAAAUAAAAAAUAUGUAAUUUCUUUUCCUUUUAAAUUUUAUGUGAAACCAAACAAUAACAAUUAAUUUUUGUACUCUUUUCCUCUCACCACCUCUCCAUUCCUCUUUUUUUUUUUUUUUUUCUCCUCUCCUCUCCUCCCAUUUCUUAAAACCAAACACCUCCUUCUUAGGAGGUGUUUGGUUUUGUAAAAUGAAAAAUUCUAUAAAUAUGAUUUUGUUGAAGCCUUAAAUAAACCAUACAGUCUGUGCCGCGUAGAAUGGGAUACAGAAUUUUGUAUUUAGCUUGCAUGCAAAAUGCAACAUGCUUACGUGUGUCUAAUUUUCUAAAUAUCUCAUCCAUGCGGCAGCUAGCUUAGCCUUUUUAUAUUGAAUAAUUGAUCAUACAAGUGUAGUUUGUUAGUUUUACGCAACCCACGUAAAUCAAUUUUAUUACGCAAGAAUUAUUGAGAAAUCGCAAAUUAAGUUGAACUGGUCCAUGGUCAGAUGGUCUCGUCUCGUCUCGUCUCACCACUUGGUAUUGAUGCCAUGGGAAAAGAGUAGUUGGUUACUUGAUUUUUUAGACUUGGGGUGGCAUUGAAAAAGAUUGUUGAAAAGGAAUCGAGUGAAUCAAAUCGAAUUAGUUUGUCUUUCUGUACAAUACAUCCCCCAUUAUCUAGCUUAUUCAGUCUUGAGAAUUAUUAUCUGAUUUUGAUCCCCCAUUUAAACUUUUUGCCAAGACUAUCCUAGAAAUUGAUUUGUUUAUCAUUGCUUCUUGGUCCUUACGGUCUUUUAUGAAUCACAAUCAAUUUAAUCAUACAUAAAAAUACGGGUACAAGCUGGUUAGCUUACACGCUUCCUAUAUAAGAAAGGUACGGGAAUCAGAUUCAAAAUAUCCAUCCAUUCAUAAUUUAAAAAAAAAAAAAAAAAACUCCGGAAUUGAACUGAACGAGUUUCAGACAUGGCAUCGAAAUCCAAGAUUCUAUCCAUCGGCGGGACAGGGUAUAUCGGUAAAUUCAUCGUGGAAGCAAGCGUUAAAGCUGGUCACCAGACACCAGACGUUCGUGCUCGUGAGAGAAUCCACACUCUCUGAUCCCUCCAAAUCUCAACUCCUCGACCACUUCAAAAACCUCGGCGUCAAUUUCGUUAUCGUGAGUUAUCAUUUUUUUAUUUUUUUAAUUCCAUUAUUUUGACCCGUGGCAGUGUAGUAUCUACUUGAAAGACUUAGUAUUUUUAUUUUAUUUUAUUUUAUUGGGUGCCGUUAUUAUUAUGCAGGGAGAUGUUUUGAAUCAGGAGAGUUUGGUUAAGGCGAUAAAACAAGUGGACGUGGUGAUAUCAACAGUUGGUCACACUUUAAUAGCCGAUCAGGUCAAGAUUAUUGCUGCCAUUAAAGAAGCCGGCAACGUUAAGGUAUGACAUAAUUAUAAAUAUCUUGGAUCAGGAUUGUGCACUUGCGCACACGUGGUGAUUUAUUAUUGGCGUGGAGCUCGUUGUAGACUAGAGCUCCCUGUUCCGCCAAUAAACACCCGCUACAUGCACAAUUGCGCCCUCAAGAUAAUUUAAUUAACUAAUUAAUUAUAAACACCUAUGGCGUGAAUGCAACUAAAAGUAGCUGAUGUUUGUAAAUUAUUUAUUAUUCAGAGAUUCUUCCCGUCGGAAUUUGGGAUUGAUGAUGAUCGAAUCCAGGGCGCCGUAGAGCCAGCAAAAUCAACGUAUGUCGUAAAGGCGAAAAUCCGCCGAGCCGUUGAGGCAGAAGGCAUUCCGUAUACUUAUGUAGCAUCGUACUGUUUGAAUGGCCACUUCCUUCCCAAUUUGUCGCAGCCUGAGGCCACUGCCCCCCCUAGGGAUAAGGUCGUCAUCUUAGGUGAUGGAAAUCCAAAAGGUAAAAUAAAUUAAUUAAGCUCAUUGUUUUUAAUAAGAUUGUUGAAAAUAACCAUGUUUAAGGCUCCGUUUGUUUGGUAUAUGUUGCGAUGUUAGUGUUAUGGCCUAUUGUAGAAUGGAUGGUCUAGCAACUUAGUGUCUAUUUGGUACUGUUGUUGGAGAUUUUAAGAUAGAGUUUUAAGUGAUUACCAGAUACUGAACUGCCAUAUCAUGGCUGCCACACAACAAUUUCAAACAGAGCCUAAAUAACUUCAUUGCAAAAUAGUUAAAUGAAUCUAACUUAGUUUGGUCAUUUGAUUUUCAGCUGUUUAUAACAAGGAAGAUGAUGUUGCAACCUUCACAAUCAAAGCGGUUGACGAUCCGAGAACCUUGAACAAAAACCUUUACAUUCAGCCUCCCGGCAAUAUUUAUUCGUUCAAUGAUCUUGUGUCUCUGUGGGAGAGAAAGAUUGGCAAAACCCUCGAAAGGGAGUAUGUUUCAGAAGAGCAGCUCCUAAAGAAUAUUCAAGGCUAGUUAAAACUCUCACUUCUAAAUGUUAUUAAAGAAAGCCGCGAAUUUUUGCCUUAUUGAUCCUGUCUUCUCCAAAAUGUUGCAGAAGCUGCACCUCCACUCGGGAGGUUGUUAUCAAUUUAUCACUCUGCUUUCGUGGAGGGAGUUCAAACGGACUUCAAGAUUGAACCAUCGUUUGGAGUUGAAGCCUCGCAGCUUUAUCCUGAUGUCAAGUACACUACAGUUGAUGAGUACCUCAAUCAGUUUGUGUAACCCUUCUCUGCUUCCAGCUGCAGCUUGCAGGAUCUUGGACUCUGGGUAAAUAAAUAAUGGGCUUGUUGCAAUCUUUGGUUUUUAUAUGUAAAAAUUAUGGUUGUUGGCCUUACUUUCUUCUGGUUGUCAAUGGAAUUUGUAAGACCAUUUUAUGUUUGCUAUGUCAGUGAUCAAAUGAAGUAGGCCAUGUACUUGAUCUGAGAAUAAUUAUAAAGCCAACAUGGUCAGGUGAGUGCGUCUGUGGGGCUUUUAUUAGGGUGCGUGUGUGAGGCUUCUGAGGGGCUUGUGAUAUGGGGUCUACAGCCCCUAAUGGGCACGCGACUGCGUGCACUAAAUGAAGUUAUUAUAAAAAUAAUUAUAGAGUCACCAAGGCAAAAAUUAAAAGUAAUUUGCCAAUAAAAAUAGUUAAAAGUAAUAAAAAGUAGGUAUUAUAUUUCAAAAAUCAAUUUUUCAUUAAUGUUUAUAAGAUUAAAUUUGUUCUUAUCUUUCCUUAAUAAACACAAAAAUUUAUCGUUUUGGACUAAUUAAAAUUUUAAAACUAGCUAACAAGCAAACCGCCAUUAAUUUUUUUUUUUCCAUUUCUUUAAUCAUUCUUUUUUCUCUUUUUGACCUUUUUCUUUUUCUUUUCUUCAGUCCUUAUUUUUCUUUUCUUUUUUGGUUUUCCUCUAAACUCUUUAAGAAAGGCUGCCAAGCCUUGAAAAUAUCUCAAAAAAUAAGAUUUUCUUUCUUAAGAUUAACAUUUUAACCACAAAAAUAAAACUCUAGUCCAAACAUUGAGCACUUACAAAUCAAACGAUAAAAACCUCUUAUUAGUACAUUAACCGUAAAAUAAAAAAGAAUUAUCACAAAUAUUGAAAUGUUGUUGUUUGAUGCUUGAGAUUCUUGAAAUGUAUGCAGAAUUCCGACAAUAUUUUGUUGAAGCAACUCUCGGAAACUUGUUUGUUGAGAUUGAUGAAGAGUCCAUGGCAAGUAACCAGGCAUAUUGCAAUCCUUGUAAUUAUUCUGACCGAGAACAAUAAAACAAAAAGUGAAAACUGAAGAAAAUGAUAAGAAAACAAUAGAAUAAUAAUAUUAAAAACUCGCUAAUCUUGCCCAAUUUUUUUUUUUUUUGGAUAAUGUUCAGCGUAUACUAGAAUCUUUUAGAGCAGAAGCAAAACAGCAACAACUUUUCAAGAAAAGAAAAAAAAAAAGAAUUAUUAAAGAAAAUGGAAAAAAGAAUUAACGGCAGUUUAUUUGAUAGCUUUUAGAUAGCCAAAACCGGUGAGUUUUUGUGUUUUAAUAAGGAUAGUUAGGAAUAAAUUUAAUCCUCUCUAUAGAAUCAUUUAGUUACUAUGUGUCAAAAUCUCCUGUAAAGAAUAGGAAAAAUUAAAUUAGAAGAGGAUCCAAAUCAGGACUUGACUAGCUUACAGAAUCUGUAAGCUACGGACUGCAGCAUCAGCCGUUGGAUGUGGUUGGAUGUGGAGUGAGAAAUUAAACAAUAGAAGAUCGGAUGGUGGGAUGACGGGAGAUGUUUGUUACAGAAUCUGUACCAUAGACAGGUCCUCCAAAUCAUCAACAUCUUGGAAUAAACAAAAGAAUCUAAACAAAAGAAACUCGUUUUGCGUGUGAACCAGUUCAAGAUAAAGAGCAGACUAUUGGAAAGAGACAAAUACUACAAGAAUAACAAAACAUUCUACAGUUACUACAUAAGCCUGCAACAAUUAAUUAUUAACUCAAGAUUUAUUACACUUUUUCUUUAAUUUGACAAAGAAACCAAAAAUGAAAUAAAAUUGACAACAGCAAUGAUAUGCUUACAACAAUGAGUAUGAAACUUAGUACAACAAGGACCUUUUUGCUAAUUUUUUCAAAUUUUUAUGAUAUUUUAGAAUUUAUGGGUUUUAUUGAUUUUGAUAAAUUGGAGCAUUUCUCCAUUCAUCUUUUCUGCAUCUAUCCCUAAAUUUCUUAUCUUUGUAAAGUUUUAACUAUGUCUUUGUAAAGUUCUAAAUGAUUAUCUCGUUCAUAGAGAUCUAUAGUUAAAUUAAUUCUUGUAUUUAUAAUCAUUUGUCUCCUUUGAGACAUAGACCAAAUUUUUUCUUCUAACAUUCCUAUGUAUAUUCCUAAGCUAUAUUUCCAGCUUAGGUACAUCUUAUCUAGGAUUUCACAAAUAAAUUGUAAUUUGAGAUCUGCAUCUUGAAUCAACAUCACCAUAUUAUUAUUAUUAUUAUUAUUAUUAUUAUUAUCCAUUGUUUUAUACUCGAUUUUGGGUUCUAUUACUAGUCGCACUUGUCUUGGAUUAUUUCAAGGCUAGAUAGAAUUGAUUCUAUUAAUGCUAUCCUGUUUCCUUCUUCAAAUGAAUCGAAUAUUUUUGGAUCAAUAAUUCUUUUCAUUUCUUCAUACAAGUGUUUGCUUGUAAUUAAUCUAGUUUUAACUAUGGAAAUUGUAUAAGCAACUUGAUAUUCUUGACUAAAGUCUAGAUGAUCAAUUGCGUCUAGAAAUUUAUUAACAGAUCUUUCCAUUUUUAUGAAAUUGAGUUACUUUUAUCACUUCCUAUCUUAUAACAUUUCAGAAUACAAACAAGGCCCAACAUGCUUCCAUUUGUUGCUAAAAUAAAAGAAUAGAGUUCAAGAUUACUAACCAGUGUACAUUUCUCGGAAUUCUAAGAUAGAUUCACUAAUUGCCUCCAACCAUAGAGAGGUCUAUGGUUAACUCCGCCAUAGCUCCACACAUCAUAUAAGAUCACUUCAACGACUGUUACAUAGGCCCAACGCAACAUAUAGCAAACGGGCCUAAAAGAAUAUGUCUAAGUGAUUUGCUUACAGCUGUCUCUGGAAGAGUGCUUAGUAGUAGAAAAUCUUCUUCCUUUAGCACAAGUAUUGGCAUGUAAGGUUCUUGGUUAUUUUCUAAGAGUAUAUAAGAUAUCUGGAAGAUGACAAUUUCGCUCAAAAGAGUUUUAUUUAUUUCAUCAUUGAAAUUAUUUACAGAGGAUGGUUACAGAGAAUACAGGUGUAGGUGUAGGUGUAGGUGUAGGUGUAGGUGUAGGUGAAGGUUAGGCAUGUGAUGUCCUUCCCUUCUUACAUGUUUCUAUUUAUAAUCUUAAAUAGAUAAGGUUAUCUCUUUUACAUGACACUUGUUUAAUUCUCUUGGUGGAUUGUGGAUUCUUUCCUGAUAAGGUGACCCUUCUUCUUUUUAUCAUUAAAGACAGUGGUUGUCUUCUUUUCCUGGUGGUAGACAGCCUUUAUCUGGUUGUAGUGUGCUUUAUCUUUUUGGAAUCUUUCUUUUUGAAUUAUUAAUGCUUUUAGGAUAGCACCUUUUAUCUUUUCCAAUGGUUCCUGUCACAUGCCAAGUAUCAAAUCUUCCUCUAGUGACAUGUCUUCCCCACUAGAAUCCUUUUUUGAUCCUUCGUAGCAGUAGCCACAUGAUGACUGAUGUUUUAGCACCUUGCAUACCUCGUGAUGUGUCAGUAAGCUGGAUUCCACGAGAUUUUCAUAUAUUGCCUUUUUCUUUUUUGAUAUGGCCUGUCUGGCUAAAAUGCUUUCUUUUCUACUUAUAGAAAAGAUUAUAUGCUCCUUUGUGGCUUCGUGGAGCCAUAUUUUUUCCUCACUUAUCCUCUCAAGAGAUUCAUAGAGGACUUUCAUUCCUACGGCUCUUUUGCUGGUGAGAGCUUUGGGUUCGAAAAAUUCAGGAUCAUAAUCAUUAUAGACUUGAUCUAUAUCAAUAGUUGGACUAACUUUUUGCUGCUAAUUCUAACUUAAAUCAUGUGCUGUGCUACCACUUGUUUUCACCGUAUUAAGGGCAAGCAGUGAGGAUCUUGAUAAAAAUUAGUUCUUUUGUUUUGGAUAUCCUUUUGUGGUCAUUAACAGCCUCUGUAUUUUUUUCUAGGAGCUCUUUUAUUUUCCUACAAUCAUCACGGACAUAAACAAGGUUAAGAAAACCGUAUUCAAACAUGUCUUUUAUCAAUUUUGGAUAAGCUCCUAGCACAAAUUUUAUCCUUGGGUAUAACCCUGAAUGAUAUGGUAUUAUAGUCUGGUUAUGAUGAAUCACAUAAGUUAUUUUACCAAUUCUUUUAUAAUUAUAAGCGUUGUCGCUUCCUAAUGGAUUUUUAACCAUAGGAACAGACUGUCCGCUUUUAUUAUAUUGGGGCCUUAAGCUCACUGAAGACCUUUGAGAUUCUUCUUUCUUCAUAUAUUAUUCUUUGAGAUCAUUGAUUGUGAGAAAUUUCUCUAGAUGUGUGACCUUUGAGUUCUGUGAAGAACUCUGGGCAAUCUGAUCCUUAGUUUGAUCCUUAAAAUGGACCUUUUUUUAGCAUAUUACUAAUAGAUUGUUAUGAAAUUUGGACUUCUGGAUGAUUUUGCAAACUUUUCUAUAGGCAAAGUUUGCUCAAUUCUUCAUGGGCAUCAUCUAUCAUGGCAAGCCUAUUAUAAAUUAUACCAUUGCCUUUGAGAAGCAAUUCUUGACCUUCAGAGCACAUUAUUAUGCCCUUAAUUAUUUUGGAAAGACCCUUCUCCAUUGUAUUCUCGGCUAAGAAAAUUUGCAAUAGAAUUGUUAGAUCCUUUAAUAUAUUCAAUUUCAAAAUCAUAUUCAGCAAAAAAACCGUUGCCAUUUAAUUAAUCUUUUAUAUUAAGGGAGAUUAGGCAAUUUAUUAAAUAUAAAUCCUUUAACUCGAGUGUUAUCAGAUCUUACCUUGAAUUUCUUUGGUAACAAAAAAAAGUAAAUUUAGCUAUUCCAUUUUUAAUAGUUAACAGUUCAUUUUCAUUACUAUGAUAAUUCUUCUAUGCGGGUUUGAAUGUUCUGGUGGCAUAUCUACAAAUCUUUUCUUGAUCUGUUUUUAAGACUACACCCCAGUAAUUAUCUGAAGCAUCGGUCUCAAGAAUUAAAUUAUCACUAGAAGUAGGGAAUCCUAAUCUUGGAAGAUUUUUACAUUUUUCUUUCGAUUUUUUUACUACUUUGGUAUGGAGAUCUUUCCAUGAUUUAGUAUUAUUCUUUUUUAAUAAUCCUUGUAAAGAUUGUCUUUCUUUAGCUAAGUUUUCUAUGAAACCUUCAGCAUAAUUAAGAUAUCCUAAAAAUAUUUGAAUUUGUUCUUUAGAUUCUAAUUUAUUUGGGAAUAGAUAUAUUUUCCAAAAAUAUGAGGUUGCAUCUCAAUUCCUGUUUCAUCUAUUAUUAACCCUAGAAAUUCUAUCUUGAGUUUCAUUAUUUCAGCUUUCUUUUUAGGGAGUAAUAUUCCAUGUUUCUUGCAUUUCUCUGCAAAAGAAACGAGAUGAUUAAUAAGAUAUAUCUUAUUAUCUGAAAAUAUAAAAAUAUCAUCUAAAUAAACAAUGUAGAAUUCAUGAAAUUCUUUGAAGAUUUGAUCCAUCCUUCUUUCAAAUAUUUUUGGUGCAUUUUUCAAUCCAAAAGGCAUUACAAUCCAUUCAUAUUAUCCUUGAGGUGUACUAAAGGCAGUAAGUGGUAUACUUUCUACUUUAAGUUUGAUAUGUCAAAAUCCAGAUUUGCAAUCAAACUUGCUAAAUGUCUUUUUAUCGGUCACGGAGAUAAUUAAUGUAUCUUUAUAAGGUAAAAAAUAUCCAUUGAAUUUGGUAUAUUUAUUUAAUUCUUUGUAGUUAAUAACCAUGCGAGCUUUUCCUCAUUUAAUUUCUACAUGAUUUCUAACCAUAAAGGCUGGACUACUAUGAGGACUUUUAGAUUUCAAAUAAUCUUAAGUUCUAAUAACUCUUCAAUUUUUUUUAUCAAAUUCUUGUCCAUGUUCUUGCCCAUCUCUCAUAGGCUUAACUCUUAUGAUACCAUUUAGAUCUGUUAAUUCGAUCUUAGCAUAUGUUUAAUCAAUUUCUCAUAAUUGAAUUGGGUUUUCACCAAAAUUUUUAUCAAGUUUUUCUAAAAUUUUUUCAUAGUCUAACAUGAUUUGAAUGAUUUUUAUAGUGUAAUCAACACACUGACUGUGUCGAAAAUGUAAUUUUUGAGUUGUGCGCCUAACAAGGUUAUAAAUUCUCGGGGUAGUAAUGGAAUGAUUACAUGGUGUUUUGAGAGUAAUGGCUUCAUUAGUCAUUAUAUAAAUGAAUUGACGAAGGAAAUUAACUCCUAAAAGUAUAUAUGUUCCCAUAUGAUCAUAAGACCAGAAUAUAGGGAUACUUAAGAUGUAAUCUUCGAUUUGGAUUAAAGUCUUAAUCCUACAAGUCCCUAAGGUGAUCUGUUCAUCAUUUGUUCCUUAUCCUUUUAAAGGCUUAUAAUCUUUCCAAUAUGGUUUUGGAUAAAUCCUAGAACUGGCAAAACUAACUCCUAAACCAGUAUCGAUUAAAGCAUAAAACCAUUCCAGUUUAUGUUUAUAAUAUGGUAUAAUCACUUUUAUAUAAAUUAUAAAAGGAUUAGACAUAUCUUGAUAUGGUUUGCUUAAUUCCUUCAAUUGUUAUACUUAUUUCUCUAUCUCCUGUACAAUAAGGAGAGAAAUUCUAAAGAAAGUUCAUCCCUAAUAAUAAAGGAUUUAUUUCUGUUUCAUAAUAUGGUUCUAUGAAAAAAGGAAAGAUGAAUUUUGUUCCUUUUAUUUUUAAUGGUAUUUUACAAUAUUUUCUUAAUGUCUUUCUUUCUCUAUUAAAUCCUACAUAAGUAUGAGGUUCAAUUAGAAUUUUUCUUUCUAAAUAUUUAAUCAUUUUAGCAUCUACAUAAGAUUUUGUAGCUCAUGUAUCAAGGAUAGCAAAAGUCUCGUGCCAUGAUUUUCCAUUAUUAUAGUCAAUCUUAAUUUUUAGAUUUUGAUUAUUUUUUCUAAUUGUGGCUAAUAUUUCAUGUGAUGGUGGUGUCACAAGAUGACUACAUCUAGUAAAACUUUGGGUUCCUCUGAAUUUUGGUUCUCUUUUGGGUAUAGAGAAUGAUCUUUUAUGUCUUAUAAUGAUUCUUCCUUCUGGAGUAUAUUCUAUAGAUUUAGUAGUAUUUCCUUUAAUCAGAGUAGGUUGACUACUUAGAUUCAUUUUCCAUUCUUAUGAUAAAUAUAUUUCUCUCUGGAUUUCAGGAUAUUUUAUAUUUCUAACUUUACUAAAUAAUUUAUCUAUUUCAAUAAAAUAUUUAUUAGCAAACAUUUCACUAUUUGCUGAAUUUGUUAAUGCAUAUUUUAUGGCAUACAUUAUGCUAUAUGGAUAAGACCCCUCAUGCAUUAUAUCAAAGUAUUUAAAAUCAUGACAUAAGGUUAAUGUUUUAUUUAUAUUUCUAUCCCUAAGACUUAUAGAAUAUUUAGGAUAUAUCUUAAAUAUCAAUUUUUUAUAACUCAAGUUUCCUUGUAUUAUUCUAGGGACUGCAUGUUUUCGAUCUUGUAUUCUAUUAUCUAGUACUGCUAAAAUUAUUGGACUAUCUAUUCCUUCCCGAAAAUGAGCUUUUAUCAUAAACUGAAUUCCUCCAAUAUGAUCAUAUCCAAUUUUGGGUCUAUUGCUAGAUUUUAUCUUACUGAUUUUAUCUUCUAUAUCAGUCUUUAAUAAUAAUGGUAUAUUUGUAUUUCCCUUAGCAUACCUAAUUUCAAUAUGUUCUUCUCACACAGUAGCACUGAAAUACAUAACAUUUUUUCUUUUAAUCAUGGUGGCAAUUCCUAGAGCUAACUUAUUGACUGAAGUCAAGGAUGAUUCUAAUCAUUUUUUUGUUAAUCUUGAGGUAUUGUUUUUUUUUUUUAUCAAAGAUUAAUUCUUUGUUAAAAGAACCUUGUUCUUCUAAUUCUUCAUCUUGAUAUAAAUGCUUAUUAUCUAAUUCUUCUAUACUCAUUCCAAAUAUGAUUUUGAAUCUGAGCUACUUAAAGUUUCUUCAGAAAGAUAAUAUAUGCUAUCACUUUCACUAAUACCUUCACUAUCUGUGAUUAAUUCUAAAUCAUUAAAAUCCUCAAACAUUUUUAUAUUUUCUUUUUUCUUUUUAGGACAUUCAUUUGUAUAAUGCCCUUCUUCAUUACAUAACCACCACUUGCAUUCUUUAACUACAUUGGUUUUAAAUCUUCUUUUAAAUUUAUUUUUCUUGUAGAAUUUCUUCUUAUAUUUAUUUUUCUUGUAAUAUUUCUUGUUGCCUUUAAAGAAUCUCUUCUUUUUGAAUUUAUUCCUAUAUUUAUAAGUUUUAUCUGAACAUCCAAAUCUUGGUGGAUCUUCUAACUUAGAGCAAAACAAUCCUUGAUUUAGCCUUUUCAUAAGUCUGUUAUCUCUUAUUUCAGCACACCAUUCACUCAUUCUAUUUCGAGCAAACCUAAUCUUAUUUCCUAAGGUAUCAGUCUCUGUUGUAUCUUCAUAUUUGUUGUUAUAUUCUAGCAUAAUCCUUUUCUCCCAUGGGUCUGGUAUCCUUAUAAAAUAUAGAUCUUAGUAAUAGCAUAUGCUACUUUCAUCUAAUUCACAUUUAUAAUAUAAUUCUUCAAAGCUACACGUGUAUUCUUCUAAAUAACAUAUAUUACAUAUUUCAAGCCUUGUUAGUUUUAUUACAUUUUCCAUCUUUUUUUCACUUUAUUUCUUAUUGAAAACCAGUUUCUCAAUCUUCUCCUAGGAAUUUUUUUCUUAUUUCAUUUUCAAAUCUAUUUAAAACUUGAUCCAAGCUUUCAUUUUGAUUAUUAUUUUCUCCAUACAAUAUUUUAUUUUUGUUAUUAUCGUUUAGUCCCAUAAACGAAUGUGACACUAUUCCUACAAAUGAAGUUUUAAGGAAUUCUAUACUAUUAUUCCUAUCUAUUUUGUUAAAUACAAAUGCCGUUUUCAUAGAUUUAACCCAAGCGAUAAUCGUUUUAUCUCUAUCUUUGACAUAGUCUAAAUCUAACCAUACUCCAUCAUGGUUGAUUGGUCUCUCUCUAUAUUUUCCUGGAGUUUUAUAAUUUUUUUAGGCUUGUUAACCCUAAAAUAUUGAUGUUGUGAUCUUUCAUGAGCUAGUAUUUCUUCUCUAGUAUAGGAAGCUCUAUUACUAGAUUCUCCUUGUUAAAAAACCGUUGGUUUUGAUUCAUUCAUUUUUAAUUGUUCUAUUCUAUUUUCAAUAUCUCAUAAGUUAAUGAGUACAUCCUCUUCCUCUUCGGAUUUAGAUUCUUCAUUGGAUAUUUCUGGAUUGUAUAAUUCUUUUAAUCCAUUGUCUACAUUUUCACUUAGCAUCCUUAAACUUAUUAAUUUUUUAUCUUAGUUUUUUGUUAAAUAUUGUCUAGAUAUUGCUAUCAUUUCUUUAUCUUUCUUUUCGUUGUAGUAAAUUAUGGUGUCUUGUAAGGUUUUAUUUUUUUUUCUUGAAUUACCAUGAGUAAUUCUUCCAUAUUGUUAUUUAUCUUUUGUAUUUCAAUCCUUUUGUAGUUUUCUAUGAAAAAUUAUUUCUAUACACCUCUCUCCUAAUUCUAAAUAGGAGAAUAGGAUCGAUGUUUAAAUUUCUAUUCUUUAUUAUUUUGAGUUCUCCAAUUCUAAAUUCAUGAGCUCUAGAUAAAUAAAAUUGUUCUAAUUGUUUAUCAUCUAAUAUCUCAAGUUUUGAAUAAUAAUAUUGUUUAUGUUUAGUUAUGUUAUCCUUUAUAGUAUUACUAUCUACCAUUAGAUUAUAUCCCCUAUUAUUAAUAAAAUAAACAAUUGUUUCUUCCAUUUUUAUAUUUUGAACCAAAAAUCUGGUUCUGAUACCGUUUUUGCAGACAAUUUUCAAUCCUAAGAUCCAAGUAAGGAUGUAAAUGAUUAAUCUUUAAAAUCUUAUGAAUAUUUUACAAUUUUGCUUUUUUAAAACACACAGUUUUAUGCUAGGUGUUGUGCAAUCUUUUGUAAAAAUUCAUGAACCAAUACUAUAUUGACUUCUCCUAAAAUGCAUAGGUUUGUUAUGAAAUUCUAAGUGUACAACCCAAAAAGUGGGGUGAAUUGGGUUUUUAAAAAUUUAAGCAAUUAUAACCACACAAAAAUUUCAAUUAAUGUCUUAUUUGAUUCAAUAACAAUAAUUUUAACAAUGAAUAAAGUAAAGAGAUGAGGGAGAAGAGAGCAAACAUGAGAUUUUUACAUGGUUCAGCAAAACCUGCCUACGUUGACGCCUCCAAGCUCACUAUGCUUGAAGAUUUCACUAUCCAAGCAUUACAACCCUAAGGCUUCAAGAUGCUUACAAUUGAUUUCUAAGGUUUCCAUGGACCUUUACAUCCAGAGGUUCUCUCAAACCUCUUAACCAAGUGUUUCUCACACUUACAACCACUUAAUUGUGAUAUUGAAAAAAAGUUACACAAAUUUUCCACUCACACAAUAUAUGUGUUUACAACUAAAAGCCUAGAGUGUGUUUCAAUGAAAGAAUAAAAACAUUUAAGCUCAAGACAGAUUAAACAUGCAAAAGUAAGCUCAAUGCCAAUUUUUGAAUUCGUUAUUGAUUGAAUAUGAUUAAUCCUUUUGAUAGUUGGAGCUGAAAACUAGCCGUUAUUGACUUUCUGCACAAGGUCGGAUCAUCGUUAAUACUUAUCGGACUGCUGUUUUGACUUGAUCAAGUUACCGUUAGGCGAAAAUCUAAAUUUUCGGAUCACCAUUUUCGAGACAUUGAAUUGUUGUUAGUUUCUAGUAACAUUGCGAGAAAAUAGUUGGCUUACCGUUUUCAAAAUGUCAUAUCGUCGUUAGUUUCCAAAUCCAUUCGAUGUCGGUUAGCCAUUUGCUACAUUAACUGCUACAUUGAAACUAUUUUUUAAAAUUAUAUUUUUGCCAUGCUUUCUAUAAUUAUACUGUAGCCCAAAUCUUCAUAAUACUUUACAAAUAGGUCCAUUUUCAGAGUUUCAAAACAUACUUUUUAUUUCCAAAACUUUAUGAAAUUAUACUAUAACCCAAAAAUAUAUAAAAUAUUUCAAAUAGGUUCAUUUCUAGAAUUUUAAAACAAUACUUGUUGAUUUCAAAGUUCUCAAAACUUUUUAAAUUUAGAGCAUUAACUUCAAAAUAACCAAUUUCAUAAAAUCAUUUUUUUCAUUAAGAUUUAUGAAAAAUGACUUGAGCUUUUAAAUGCUUAAGCAUGCAUAUAUUUAAUCAUACUAGCUUUACAAGAAAUGUAACAAGAGAAAUCACCUAAGCUAGUACCUCUAAUGCUUGUUCUUGACUUAGUGAGCUUUUUACCUUCGUCUAUUUGAGUGCCUUGAACUUGAUCACACACACACACACACACACACACACACACACACACACACACAUAUAUAUAUAUAUAUAUAUAUAUAUAUAUAUAUAUAUAUAUAUCAUUUUAUCCUUUUAUCCUUAACACGUGGUUUGUUAUUAUCAAAACCCAAGUUCGUACAACCGCUUAGGCCAACAUGUUACUCCCAAUCAAUUGACUUCUGACAUGACUACUUCCAAAAUGGCUAGUACCAAAAGGGAAUCCUUCUGGGAUGAGAAUUGAAAAACAUGCCUCUUCUAGCACUAAAAUUACUCCUUCCACCUAUAUUUCCACUAUAAUGUCCUUAAAAUCCUCCGGCAUAUCCACCUCUUUUAGUAUUGCCUCCUAUUUGUGCAUGAUAGUAAUUAAUUAUGCCAUAGUUAUUAUGGUUAGCAAAGUUAGCACAAUUUGCAUUGAAUAUGUGUUUUUCAUUAUGACUUUGUUCAAGUCUUGCCUCUUGAGUAAGCAAUAGAGCAUACGCACCAUCAUAAUAUAACUUGCUAGCAGUAAUAAAAGUAGAUAAAUGCAGAUGGCUAGCUCCAAAACUAUUGAGAAUUUGUUAAACAUAUCUUUAUCAGAAAUAGGACUACCAACACAUGUCAAUUUAUCUGCUAUUUAUUUAAUCUUUAAGCAAUACUCUUCUAUGCUUAGUGACUUUUUUUCUCAAAGCAUUCAUCUCAUAUCUCAUUUGAAGAAUCCUACCCUCAUAAUGUUGCCUAAACUUUUUCUGUAAUGUUUUUCAUACAUCAAGUAAGGUGUUAUAAGAAUGAACAAGACCGAGAAUACCUUCAGUGAUAGAGCUGAGUAACUAGCUAAGUAAUGUGUGAUCUUGAGAUCUCCAAACAAUGAACUCAGGAUUUUCAAUCUGUUAAGUAGAUGCAGCAACUGCUCUAGCAUAGCUGAUGAAUCAAUGAAUUGAUUUGGUGCUUCAUUUUCUCUAGUUAUGUAUCCUUCGGUUUCCUCUUAUAAAAGCUAGAACUUGAUUUUGCCACAGCAUGUAAUUUGAUCAAUCGAAUGUGAUUGGAGUGAUGAAACAGAAUGUUGUUUGCAUUGAUUGAUUUGUAGAGAUUGCAAUUGAAUUUGUGCUUACAUUGCUUGAGCUUGCCAUUUUGGCUCAGAUACCAUGAAUAAAUUAUUGGAAGUUGAGUUAUAGUUGCUGUUUAACAGCUGAGAAAAUAGAGGAAAAUUCUCUGGAAAUUCUAAAUGUUUCCUAUUGAGCAAACGAAAGAUUAACAUACUAUAUAUAUACAAGUUUCUAAAUUGUUUCUAGCUAAUUUACAGUACAGCUAAUCAAUAGAUUUGAUCCAAAGUAAAACUAAUUAGUUUCACACAUAAGGAGCACGUGAAUCCAUCAUCGUUGCAUAAUCGAACAUGUUGACUUAGCUGCUGACUUGGCAUUGACAGCUGAUUUGCUUCUUUUUUGUAACUCUGGAUAGUGUGCUUUCUUCACAAGUUUCCCCAAAUCUCCAUUAUGUACAGCUUCUGCAAAAAUUUCCUAACCAAACCAUUUAUUUGUAAUUUCCUCUUGUGUUGGCCCUAUGCCAUCAUCAAGUGGUACCGUGAGAGGAUUUCCAUCUAGAUUACCCUGAUCUUUGUCUGAAUCAUAACUAGUAUGCAUAGUGUUUUCAUCCUCAUCACCCUGCGCAGCCAAAACAAAAUGCUUAACAUUACAUAUACAGUAAAACCUCUCUAUAGUCAUAUUGUUGGGAUUAAACUAAUUUUAUUAAUAUGAAGAUGUUAUAAACUUAAUGGAAAUUCAGUGACAAAUCUAUUGAUUAGCUGUGCUACUUUGAUAAUUAAUUAAUGAAGCAUGUCAAAUCUAAUGCAUUGACAUUGAUAAAAGAGGUAAACAUAUAAUUUAAAAAACUAGUACUUAUAUCUAUCAUCUGUGUAGUAUUGGGAACAUGCAAAGUCUUCUUAUUGAAAAUCUAAAGAAUAAAUUAUUAUCCAAAAUAAUUUCAGAAAAAUAUUAUAUUUCAUCUUAAAUCUUUCAUGUAACAUAGCAAAUUUUUUUUUUUUUUGCUCAAUAUACAUAUUAGUAAUACUGUGUGGAUGCGUGUUCCUUAAGAUAUGCUCUAUAAAAGUUGUUAACUUAUUACAAUGUGAAGUUUGUUCUUAUUUAUAAUUGGCUUAAAGCAGGAAUAAGAUUUUUUGUGACUAUUGGACGUUGUUCUUAUAAAAUGUAUCACUACAGAGAGAUUUUAUUAUAAUUCUAAACCGAGAAAAGAAAGUGUAAUCCUAAUAAAUCACCAUCGAUUAGAGCUAUAAUGAAUUAAGCUUUACAAAGAAGAAGAAGAAAGAUUACAAUGUGAAGGCAACAAGAAUCAUGACAAAGUGAGAAAAAGAGAGGCCACAUAAGCCCCAAGGGAAAUUGAGAUUUUAUAACACAGCCUAAUUGCAGAAAGCAUAGGCGAAAAACAGGUGCUUGAUUGCAAACAUGCACACGCGCGCGCGCACACACAAUUUGACCACAAAGACCGCAUACCUUUGAGAGUUGGUCCUCUGGGGCAUAGGCAUUUUUCGCACGUUUUCGUGCUUCCUCCUUUUAUGGCCACGUAGUUUUCGUAAGCUUGAUCAAGAAACUCCUCCAAUUGUUCAUCAUACCUAACACCAAAAAAAUGUCAUAAGAUCACAAAGGCAUAAGUUGAUAGAUAUAUUUGUCAAGAUAAUGCGACAGAAGAUAUAGGUAGAAAAGAAUUACUUUCUGCAUUCUUUAUCAGAGUCACUGUCACUGGACAAUUGCUCUUGAGUGUCUCUAUCGGGUCUCUCAUCUUCACAGCCCUCUGCAGUAGCAUUCUCAUCAUCAUCAUCAUAUUCAACAGCAGCAAGAUCUUUUUUACCCUAAACCGAUCAUUCAAGUUUAUAAAAGAAUGAGAUACUUGCCUUAGACCACACUUUUGAAUUGGAAAAAACUAAUAAAUCAAAAUUGCAACUAAUAUUGUCCUACCCAGCCAUUUUUCAUUUAUCCUGAUGUCAAGUACACUACAAUCGAUGAGUACCUCAGUCAGUUUGCGUAACCCUUCUCUGUUGAGUUGUAGCUUGCAGGAUAUUGGGAAAUAAAUAAUUGGCUUGUUGCCAUCUUUGGUUUGUAUCUGUAAACAUUAUGGUUGUUGGCCUUACCUUCUUUUGGUUUUCUAUGGAAUUUGUAGCACCAUAUUUUGUCCACUAUGUCAGUACACCAGUGAUUAAACAAAGUAGUCUCAUGUGCUUGAUCUAAAAAUAAUUAUAAAGUCACCAUGUGGUUGAUCUAAAGAUAAUUAUAAAGUCACAAACACAGAAAAAUUAAAAGUAAUUCAUAAACAUUUGUCAUGUGAAAUUUACUUAAUGGAAGAGAAAUUCUAGGAAACAACUUUAUGGUGAGAAAACUCUAAAAAUCAAACCGAAAGAUAUAUAAUAAAUAAUUUUAUAAGAAUUAGGCUAUGUUUCAAAUAAUAUCACAUAUAGUAAAUUUAUGAGUUGUCGCUCAUCAUAACUCAAUUGUUUCACAUAUUGUAAUUCUUUAAUUUUGAAUAACAACAUAUGUUUCAUAAGAUUUAAAAUGGUAUGACUCAUUUUAUAAUAUUUUUAACUGAAUUGAAAUUCUGCAACUAUAAAAAUUGAAAAGAAUGAACUUGGCGGUAUUACGCUUAUAGUAUUGUUUCUUAUGGUGAACCAAAAGCAAGCCAAAAUUACGCUUACAUCAUCUUACUCUACCGUAAAACUUAUUUAUAAUCAUAACGGUAACACUAAAUUAAUUUUAUUACUGUGAGAGUUUAAUAUUUAAUAGAGGUGUAGUUACAAAAAUUAUUAUUUUAACUUAAUUAUUUUUUGUGCAAGUGAUAUAGCGAUAAAAUAUGCACUAUAUUAAUAACUAAUUAAUACAGCAUGUCAAAUUCAAUGUACUAACAAUGAUGAAAAAGAUAGGCAUAGUUUGAAAAAAACUAGUACAUAUAUCUUUAUAGUGCUGGAAUUAUGUAAAAUCAUCUUGAAAGUCUAAAGAAUAAAUGAUUGUACAAAAUAAUUUUAGAAAAAUAUUUUACUUCAUCUUAAACCUUUAACAUAAUAAGGGAUAUAUUUUUUACAAUAUACCGAUAAUUAUUACUAUUAGAGGUAACUUUCUUAAAACCGGAUUUAAAAAAAUUAUAAUUUAUCAUAAUAUAGAGUUUAUUCUUAUUUAUAAUUAUUAGGCUUGAUAAUCGACUGGGUCGUGUUUGGGCCAUGCCAAGCUCUAGCCCAACUAGGGGUGGCAAAACGAAUAAACGAAUCGAAUUUGAAUCGAAUCGUAAACGAAUUGGGUCAAAAUUAUAUGGAUUCGGAUUCGAUUCGUUUAUUAAACGAAUUGAAAUUUCAGGAUUCAGAUUCGAUUCGGUUAUUAAACAAAUAUUCGGUUCAAUUCGUUUAAUUCGUUUAAUAGAAUUGAUAAACGAAUCGAAUCGAAUCCGGAUUCGUUUAUUAUUCGCUUAUCCUUUACGAAUCCAUAACGAAUCGAAUCGAAUCAGGAUUCGUUUACAAUUCAUUUAGAAAAAUAUAAUUAAUAAACAAAAUUAAGCAAAAAAAACACAAAUUUAAUAUCCCACAACAAAAUACAAAUAAUUCAAAUCAUAUUAUACAGUCAUCCAAAUACUAAAUUACAAAUCCUUAAUAUUACAAAUAACAAUAAUUCAAAUUCAAAUUAUAAAGAAAUGUAAUUUCUUUAAUUCUCUUCAUUUGUCUUUGUCGCCUUGAAAACAAAAAUCCUACACCAAAAAGUAAAUAAAAUGUUAUUAACAUGCUGCAAUAUUGAUAAUAGUCAUUGUAAAAUUUCAAAAAUCAAAUAUAUAGCAAAUUUGUAGCAUUUUCAAGAAAAUAAUAAUUAAACAAGAUAAAAACUUUACCUACCACACUCACACACUGUCAUUUGGAUCAUUGGCACUCUCUGCAGAUGGAGCACAAUUAGUGCUCAUGUUCAUAAUGUUUUGAGUAAGUUGGUCCACAGUGACAUCCAAAUUUUCUACAAUAAUUUUAUAAAAAUAAAUCUUAAUUAGAAACAAUUGCACAUAAUAUUAUAAAAGAAAAGUAAAUAAAUUUUAUGAGCAAGUUUUACCAAUCUCUCCAAACUUCCAAUCUCUAGUAGUAAUAAUUGCUUGAACUAUCUCUAGUAGUAAUAAUUACUUGAACUGUCUCUGGCUUCAAUACACUUCAAAAUUGAUCAAGAACUCAACCGCCAAACAACAACAAAACAACAGUAAAACAGCAACAAAAUAGCAGCAAAAUAGUAGUAAAACAACAACAAAAUAUCAGUAAAAUAGCAGUAAAACAACAACAAAAUAGUGGAAAAAUAACAAAAAAAAUGGUAGCGAAACAGCAGCCAAACAACAGCAGUAAAACAGCAGCGAAACAGCAGUAAAACGACAGUAAAAUAGCAGUAAAUCAGCAACAAAACAACAGCAAAACAGUAAUAAAACAGCAACAAAACAGCAACAAAACAACAGCAAAACGGUAAUAAAACAGCAAUAAAAGGCAAAUUUUCAGUGGUGUACCGUGAUGGUGGGUAGUUAGCGCGGCGGGAAGUGGUGCUGGGGAUGAAAACCUUCAAAUUUUAAAAAGCUUUCAAAUAAAUUUAAGGAUAAAAAAGUAAUUUAAUUAAACGAAUAAUAAACUAAUCGACCCGUAUUCGAUUGGUUUAUGACCGAUUUAUUAAACGAAUAAACGAAUCAAAAUUUUCAAACCUGCAUUCGAUUCGUUUAAUUAACGAAUCGAAUCGAAUUCACCCAUUUAUUAAACGAAUCAAUUUUUUCAAACUCAAACCCAUUUAAUUUGCAUCGAAUCGAAUCAAAUAAACGAAUCCUGACCCAUAUUGCCACCCCUGCCCAACCCUAUGAUUAAAAUGAAGGACUCUAAUACUAAAAAGCUUGACCCUUCAAACUAAAGAACAACCUGGCUUUAAUAAUUUUUUUAUAUUUUAUUUUUUUUUUUAAGAAUAUGACUCCUAUUCUUCAUUCUUUAGUAAUAUUAUUAUUAUUAUUAUUGUUCCUUUUUUUUGUUGGAUUUGUUUGUAAGGAAUUUAAUAAAUUAUUUUUUAUUUAACUUAACAACAAUAGAACGUUUAACAAUCUAACAAAAUUAAUAUAUUAACCAAGCAAUAGGUAAAUAAAUCAAAUACAAAAUAACAAAAUUAAUAUGAAAUAGAGAUAAAUAUCCCUAAAGUGUAGUUGUGACCAUCUAUGUGUAUGUGUGUUUAAUAAUAUUUUUAUUUUAAAAAUUAAUUUAAAGAUCAAGAGUUGAGUUAAAACAUUUUGGUAAAACUUUAACCCUAACCCAAAUGUAAUUAGGUCCUGAUUCCUUAAGCCCUAACCCAACGUUUAACCUUUCAAAUUCGAGUCAAAACCAUUAAAAUUAAGAUCGAAUCAAUCAAGUCGAGGGUCGGAUAAAACCUUUUUGUCAUCCUAAAAAUUACCCUAAAUUAAAAUCAAAAUUUUUUAAAAUUAUAUAAAAAUUAUUCUUAUACACAGUAACAAUAUACGACCCAACAAGAAAUGAACCUGGACGCAUUAGGGCUUUGAUCCACAAACAAACUUUCAAAACCCUCUUAGACCUCAAGAGCAUUUUAGUCCAUUUAAUCAAAAGUAAAAGUGCGGCUACCAGCUAACUCUCCGGAAUUGAACUGAACGAGUUUCAGAAAUGGCAUCGAAAAGCAAGAUUCUAUCCAUCGGCGGGACAGGGUAUAUCGGUAAAUUCAUCGUGGAAGCUAGCGUGAAAGCCGGCCACCCGACGUUCGUGCUCGUGAGGGAAUCCACAGUCUCUGGUCCUUCCAAAUCUCAGCUCCUCGACCACUUCAAAAACCUCGGCGUCAAUUUCCUUGUCGUGAGUUAUCAAUUUUUUUUUUCAUUUUUUUAAUUCCAAAUUUUGACACGUGGCGGUGUAGCCUCUACUUGAUAGACUUGGUUUUUUUUUUUAAUUUAAUUUUUGUGGGUGCUGUUAUUAUUAUGCAGGGAGAUGUUUUGAAUCACGAGAGUUUGGUGAAGGCGAUAAAACAAGUGGACGUGGUGAUAUCAACAGUUGGUCACACUUUAAUAGCCGAUCAGGUCAAGAUUAUUGCUGCCAUUAAAGAAGCCGGUAACGUUAAGGUAUGACAUAAUUAAUGUAAAUGUCUUAGAUUCCGAUCAGGAUUGUGCACUCGUGCACACGUGGUGAUUUAUUCUUCGUGUGGAGCUCGCUGUAGAGUAGAGCUCCCAGUUCCGCUAAUAAACACCCGUCACAUGCGCAAUUGCGCCUCAAAAUAAUUUAAUUAAUUAAUUAGGUAUAAACACCGAUGGCAUGAAAGCAAUUAAAAUUAGUUGAUGUUUAUAAAUUAUUUAUUACUCAGAGAUUCUUCCCAUCGGAAUUUGGAAAUGAUGUUGAUCGAGUCCAUGGCGCCGUGGAGCCAACAAAAUCGACGUAUGACGUAAAGGCGAACAUCCGCCGAGCCGUUGAGGCAGAAGGCAUUCCGUACACGUACGUAGAAUCUUAUUUUUUUGAUGGCUACUUCCUCCCUAAUUUGUUGCAGCCUGGGGCCACUGCCCCCCCUAGGGAUAAGGUUGUCAUCUUCGGCGAUGGAAAUCCAAAAGGUAACAUAAUUUAAUUAAGCUCUGUUUGUUUGGUAUGUAUUUCGGUGUUAAUGUUAUUGUCUGUUGUACAAUGGAUGGUCUUGCUUGGUACUGUUGUUGGAGAGCUGCAGUGUUUUGAUAAACACCUCUAUCCUUAGCUUUCAAGUUAAGUUGAUUUUAUACAACACUUGUUUAAUUAAAAACUUGUAAUAUUCUUACUACUUUGAUAAAAAAAAUAUUACGAUUAAAGUAUUAAUGGCACCAUAAUACGAAGUGAAUCUUAAGUGGUCAUUAUAGAUUUUAAGAUAGAGUUUUAAGUGAUUACCAGAUACUUUAGCUGCUGAACCGCCACAUCAUGGUUGCCACACAACAAUUUCAAACAGAGCCUAAAUAACUUCAUUGCAAAACAGUUAAAUGAAUCUAACUUAGUUUCGUCGUUUGAUUUUCAGCUGUUUUUAACAAGGAAGAUGAUAUUGGAACCUACACUAUCAAAGCGGUUGAUGAUCCGAGAACCUUGAACAAAAACUUUUACAUUCAGCCUCCCGGUAAUAUUUACUCAUUCAAUGAUCUUGUGUCUCUGUGGGAGAGAAAGAUUGGUAAAACCCUCGAAAAGGAGUAUGUUUCAGAGGAGCAGCUCCUAAAGAAUAUUCAAGGUUGGUUAAAACUCUCUUUUUUAAAUGUAUUAAAGAGAGCCGUAUAUUCUCUGCCGUAAAUGUUAUUGAUCCUGUCUUCUCCAAAAUGUUGCAGAAGCUGCAUCUCCACACAAUUUUAUAUUAUCAAUUUAUCACUCUGCUUUCGUGAAGGGAGUUCAAACUAACUUCAAGAUUGAACCAUCUUUUGGAGUUGAAGCCUCGCAGCUUUAUCCUGAUGUCAAGUACACUACAGUUGAUGAGUACCUCAAUCAGUUUGUGUAACCCUUCUCUGUUUCCAGCUGCAGCUUGCAGGAUCUUGGACUGUUGGUAAAUAAAUAAUUGGCUUGUUGCCAUCUUUGGUUUUAUAUGUAAAAAUUAUGGUUGUUGGCCUUACUUUCUUCUGGUUGUCCAUGGAAUUUGUUAGACCAUAUUAUGUUUGCUAUGUCAGUGAUCAAAUGAAGUAGGCCAUGUACUUGAUUUGAGAGUAGUAGUUAUAAAGCCAUCAUGAUCAGGUGGGUGCGUAGGUUGGGCUUCUAUUAGGGUGCGUGUGUUGGGCUUCAGGGGCUUGUGAUAUGGGUUCGACAGCCCCUAACGGGCAGUCAUUAUAAAAAUAAUUAUAGAGUUACAAAUCUAUGUAAAAAGCAAAAAUUAAAAGUAAUUUAUCAAUAAAAAUAAUUAAAAUUAAUAAAAAGUAGGUAUGAUAAUUCAGAAAUUAAAUUAAAGAUAGAAUUCUAAAGAGUUGGAUAAUCCUCCAACUAAACUAAAGAUCUAGUACUUUUGAGAGCAAAUUUAAUUAAAGAAAAGGAUAAGGAAAAACAAUAGAAUAAUAAUAUUAAAAAAUUGCAAAUCUUGGUCUUUUUUUUUUACGAUGAUGUUGAAUUCUUAUAAAUUUAAUCUUAUCUAUAGAAUUAUUUAGUUACUGUAUGUCAAAAUUUCCUAUAAAGAUGAAGAAAAAUUAUAUUAGGAGAAGAUCCAAAUCCGUUUAACUGAUGCAUCAUCGACAACAUGAGUACAACAUUUUCGAAUAAACAAAAGAAACUCGUUUUAUGUGUGAACCAGUUCCAAAAUAAAGAGCAGACUAUUGGAAGGAGACAAAUACUACAAGAAGAACAAAACAUUCUACAAUUCCUACAUGAGCCCGCAACAAUUAAUUAUUAACUCGACAUUCAUUACACUUUUUCUUUAAUUUGACAAAGAAACCAAAAAUAAGAUAAAAUUGACUAAGAAAUAAAAAAAUGACAAAAAUCUUUUUGAAGUUUUGCCAGUUCAGCCAUGCACGCUUAUCUUUAUUCACUUGUUUCCUUUCUUUCCUUUCUUUCCUUUCUUUCCUUUCUUUGCUGAAGCCUUCACAGAUCCUUUACCUUUCUGAGCCUUGCCAAUUUUCCCCUUCUUCAAACCACCUGGCCUUGCUGGAUCCACGUGUCCUUGCAUCCUUUUUCAUUCGUGGAUCAACAAGAAUCUCCCCCUUUCCAGCUCUCUCUUGAACUCCUUGCUUUGCGACCAUGUAUUCUUUGGUAGGCCUUUUGGGUAUAGUUGUCUUGUAUAAUUGUUCAAUUUGAUUCCUCUUCGAACGAUCAGAGAUGUCCGCUUAGUCUGAUAUGACAUUUGCCUUCUUGCGAACCUUCUCAAGAUUUCGCAUGGCAACCCGUAUCUUUCGAGCUUUGGUCUUAGCCACCUUCUUGGCAGUAUGGGUGGGCGAUUCGAUUUUGGGAUAAACUUUUGGUUUCGUAUCGGUUUAGAUUAAAAAAUAAUAUAAAAAAAUAUUUAGAUUUUAAGGGAAAAAAUCCGAACCGAGACUCACCUAUCGAUUUUGGCUCGGUUUCAGUUCAGUUUUGAUUCUCCUAAUAGUUUUAUUUUGCCUUAUUGACUUCCGGUCAAUGACACUUUUGAAAAAUUUACAAAAAAAAAAAAAAUGGCCAUAACAAAAUUUCUAAAUGCAAAUAUUUCCUAAACAUUAGGCUAUACUAAAUUUUUUUAAAAGGUAGGGAUCCAAACGAUAUUAUCCCUCUACUUCAUCUUCAACCUUCGUCACUAGGGAUGGCAAAAUUCAGGUUCGGGUUCGGGUCCGGGUUUAGCCAUUCGGGAUCCGGACCCGGAUGAAUAUUUUCUGUAUCGGACCCGAAAAUAAACCCGCAUUUUUCCACUCCGAGUCUGGUACGGGUUCAACCCGAAAAAAUUCGGGUUCCCAGACUGCGGGUUUCCAACCCGAAUUGAUGAAUCCAAUUGAAAAAAAAAAACUAAAUUCAACUAAAAAAAUCAAAUAGAAAUACAUAUCCAGGAUUUUAGCAAAUCAAAGAAAAAUUAUUUCAUCUGGAAACUAAUUAACAAAAACAACAAUUUUGUUUGGCUGCCCAGAAUCAGCAACCCAAUGUGGCGGCUCGUUCAAAACAUUAGUGUUUUCAACAGAUUUUGGGGUAGGAAAAGCCAAACCUAUCUAGAACAAUGAAUUUGUAUUUUUGGGGGAGAUGAGAUACCUCACUGGUUUGUUGUGUGCGGUGCAGUGUAUCUGAAAUUUGGGGGAUGUGAGAAGGGGAGAGGGAGUGGUAACAAUGGUGAAAGGUCAAAACCAAUAGAGAUGUCCUUCAAAAUGAGCUUCACACCUGUAAAACAGUGAAAUAAAGGUUAGAGGUGAAGCCGGGAUACCCCGGUGUUCACACUCCGAUGCUCAAGUUAGCAAACUCAAGCUUUUAUGACAAAGAGAACUGGCUAGCCCUCUGUAAAUUAGGGUUUAAGGUUCAAGGAAACCUAUUUUUUGGAAUGUGAGUGUUAAUGGUGAGUGAGAGACCUCUUCGAGAAUGAAACAUAGGCGCCUUUAUAUAUGGAGUACCUCAGCUGCCACAUGACGUACCCUUUUUUGGCUAACGUCAUUUUUCCUUUUUAUGAUUUUUGGGUCGUUAUGUGCAUGUUCGCGGGGUAUCUCAUCUUUUGGAAACGUGGCGCGCGCUGGAGAGUGGUCCAGGGUACCUCUGCAGUAGCUGUCGGGUAGGCAGCUGAAGACCACUGUCCUUGGGACAAUGUCCUUCACUUUUGGUAAAGGUGACAGGCGGUUGUCCCCCUUUUUAACACGACAUUUUUUAUUCCUAAUUAUGACAAAAUCGAAUAAUAUCUUUUAAGAGAUGGAGACGUUUCUCAUGGUGGAUAUUUUCAGAGGAUUCUCUUGCAUCUGAUCAGCCGGGUUCCUCCAGUUAUGCAGGGUACCUCUAAUUUUACGGGGUACCUCUAUUUGCGCAGGGUACCUUGAAUCAUGCUAGGUACCUUAGAUUAUGCGGGGUACCUCAUAUUGUGUGGGGUACCUCUAAUUGUGCGGGAUACCUCUAUUUGCGCUAGGUACCUUGAAUCAUGCUGGGUACCUCAGAUUGUGCGGGGUACCUCUAUUUGUGCAGGGUACCUUGAAUCAUGCUGGGCACCUCAGAUUGUGCGGGGUACCUUUAGUCAUGCGAGGUACUUUUAAUCAGGCCAGGUACCCUCUAAUUGUGCUGAGUACCUCUAAUCAUGCAGGGUACCUCUAAUCAUGCGGGGUACCUCUAAUCAGGCCGGGUACCUCAGAUUGUGCGGGGUACCUCUAUUUGCGCAGGGUACCUUGAAUCAUGCCGGGUAUCUCAGAUUGUGCGGGGUACCUCAAAUUGUGUGGGGUACCUCUAAUCGUGCGGGGUACCUCUAAUCAUGUCGGGUACCUCGGAUUGCACUGAAAUUAUUCCAUUCGUUGACACGUGGCGUUAUGCUAUCUUUCUUAUUUUUCCCCCAAACAACAUCCCUCUAGUUUCUUUUGGCAAGAAGUUUUGGAGGCAAAAGAAACUUACAUAAAAAGUAGGAGCGACACGUGGCGAUAUGAUGUUUAGCUCGAUGGAUAACUAAAUAGAGGGCGCCUCUAGGGGUACCCUGAGAACCCAAAAAGGGAAGAUGGGCUCCAUUUCCUCGGAAAUGGCUACCACUUUGGACAUGUUGGAAAUGAUAGAGCUAAUUGAUCAAAAAAAUUUCAUCUAUUUCUGGGGAAGAACACCAAAUACGGGUAGAGGGUAUCGUUAGGGUACCCCACCAUUAUCCAUAGUUUGUUUUCUAGUGACUGCCAUGUAUAAAUCGCUCUGGUGAAGGCUUCAAUACAUUCUUUGGGCAUUUAAGAAGCAAUUAUUUGAUUAUCUCGGGAUCCACCUUAUUUAAGGGUAUAUUUCCUUCAUGUGCUUCGAAGAAAAAAAUAAAAUCACAGGGCCUUCUUCCUUGUAACUUCAGAGGUACCAUCGACAGAAGAACAUAGUCGACAAUGCUUUUAAGCGUAUCAUGAUCGAGGAAUGGAGUGCUGAUCUGGGGUUGGUGGUGCCAAGAGUGGAGAAGAUGGUAGAUGAACCGGCUAUCUUGAAGGCGAUUAAUGAUAGCGGGGCUCCCAACACAUCUUGGUCUGAAAGCCCAUUGAGAUCAGCUGAGGUACCUCAGAUGAGGUAUCUAUAAGGUACCCCUGAUACUAACCCUUGUGUUUUUGCUACUUUUAGCACUUUAUUGAUCCCUUCAUCCUAAGGGAUGAAGUUGAAGAUAAAUAUCCUGUUGUAUAACCUUGUUCGACAUUACUGACAAGAUGUAUGGGGUACCUUGUUAGCCUAUAUGGCUAUAAAUAUUGAUUUUGAUGAUAACAAACCACAUGUAUUUAUUGAGUAAAGAUUUAUGAAUUGUGCUUUUAUAAUGAGAAAAUGAUGUUAUGGAAUUAAAUCUUUUUGAACUAAAAUGAAAGUAAUUUUAAAAUCUUUGAUAGUAUUUUAAAUUUCGGAUUUGUACAUAUUUGAAACUAUUUAAAUGUUUUUAGGUCAUUUUGUAAUUUCACAAAGUUUGGGCGAAGUCAUAAUUUCAUAAAGUUGUGGGAUUGAGAAAGCAUUAUCUAAAAUUAUGAAAUUGGACAUAUUUGCAAACGUUUAUAACGUUUUGGGCCAUACCACAGUUUUAUAAAGUUUUAGGGUCAAAUUGAAAAUAUUAGAAAAUUUUCACUGUAGCAGGUUACUGUAGCAAGCAGCUUACCGGAUUCAGAAAAUCAGAAAUCCGGAUUCGAGGCAGUAAGCAUCCAGAACCAAAACGGCUUACCGGAUUCCUGAAUCCGGCAAACCGGUUAGGCAAAAUUUUGAAUUUUGCCUUAACGGUAACAUAAAUCCGGCUUACCGAAUUCUAUAAAAUGGCAAACUGGAUAGCCUAGAAUGUGAGUAACGGCUAGUUUUCGAGCUCAAGCUAUAAGAACUCAAAUCCAACUCAUUUUGAAGCUCUCCAACAAGCAAGAACAAAAAGCACACGUGAUAUCUUGAGCCUUCAACUUGUAAAACACAAUUCAUUGAAUCAUUCAUUGUUCUUCAUCUUUGAAUAUCUACUCAUUGAGUGAGUUUCAUUGUAUCUUUCAUUUCUUCAAUUCAUUUGUAAGAGUUUGAGUGUGUGAGACACUUGAGUGAAGAGAUUGGGAGAUAAUCUCUUUGUUGUAAAGGUUUAUUGACACCUCGAAGUCAAUUGUAAUCGUUGAAGCCUUGGAAAGGCUUGGAUAGUGAAAUCCUCGAGCUUGGAUCGCUUGGAGGCGUGGACGUAGGCGGGGAUUACCGAACCACGUAAAAAUUCGUGUGUUUGUUUCUCUUCUCCCUUACUCUUUAAUUAUUGUACCAUUAUUGAACUUAUUACUUUCAAUUAUUGUUAAGACAUUAGAUUGCUUGUUGUGUGGAUUUGUUAGGAUAAUUUUUAAAAAUCCAAUUCACCCCCCUCUUGGGUUGCACACUUGUAUUUCAUACCUCAUGUACCCUAAUGCUUGGAUAUCCCUUGAGCUAUCUGUUACUUCAUGGCGGAAUAACCCAAUUGCAUCAAACAUAUGGCGAUUCUUCCAGAUAUGCUUGUCGCUUAUCUUAAGCUUUCUUAGGGUUCCUCCUGGUGUAUCUGAGGAAUAGCUUUCUGGCGUGGGGUACCCUUAAUCAGCGUAUGGUGAUUUUCAUAGAAAUGCUUGCCGCAAAUCUUCACAAAACUUGUUGCGGUUGCUUUUGAGAGAUUGUGCGGGGUACCUUGAAUCAUGCCGGGUAUCUCAGAUUGUGCGGGGUACCUCAAAUUGUAUGGGGUACCUCUAAUCGUGCGGGGUACCUCUAAUCAUGUCGGGUACCUCGGAUUGCAGUGAAGUUAUUCCAUUCGUUGACACGUGGCGUUCUGCUAUCUUUCCUAUUUUCCCCCAAACAAUUAGUAAAGAGAGCUAAAGAACUAGCUUUAGUUACGAGCAGAAAAUCAGAAGUCAAGGAGCAGCCAAAGCACUUUUAAUGGUGAUGGUAAAACUAGAGAGGUAAUGCAAAUAAGUUUACGUUGAUUGGAUAUUCAGAAGAAGUAAUACGCCAUUAAAAGCAACAAGUUUUCCAAAAAGCCAACAAAGACAGAGACCACCACACCACCCCGCACUGGAUGAAAAACGAUGAAAGCAUGAUAAGUGGCAUCGAGUAAGCCACGUUCUCUCUCUCUCUCUCUCUCACUCGCACUCGCACUCGCACUCGCACACACUGUUACUAAAAUGACCAAAAAUAAGAUUCCCAUCAAAAUAUUUUCGAGUAUCGUUCUUGAAAGUGGCGGCGGCUGAUGAUGAUGAACACAGCCGCGAUUGCGAUUGGCGAAGGCGGCGUUCUGCCCGUAUCACAGCUAGUUAUCGGUCGCGGCAGAAAAGAUAAUGAAACGACGGCUGAUGAUGAUGAUGAUGAUGUUGAACAGCCGCGAAUAUGGGUAAGUGAUGCGACGAUGAUUUGAUUUGAUGAAGAUGAGCUGAACAUGGAAUAAGAGAGGAAAUGUUUGUGCGGCUGGGAAAGUGUAAUGAACUGCUAGGGCACCAUUUGGGUUUUUUUGCUUUCCUAUUUAUAUUAAAAAUAAUUUUUAAAAAUUAAUAUAUAUCCGGGUUCGGGUUUUGGAUGUACGGGUUUACCUAGACCCGGACACAUGCGGAUUCAGCAGCACCGACCACCCACAGACUUGGAUUUGAUUACAAAGUUGGGACUUAGGAUUUGGGUUUGUGGCUGCCGAAACAGAAAGUGAGAGAGUAGAAAGUAGAGACUGAGAGUGGUGCAAACAUGUGUAAUUUUGUGUGUGUGUCUAUAUAUAUAUAAUGUGAAAUUACAAAAAUGCCAUUAUAUCAGUUCAAUUCGAAUUUUGUAACUUGUGAUCCGAAAACUGAACCAAACCGAACCAUUUGGUUUGGUAUUUAUAUAUUCAGGUUUUUAAUUUAAAAAAACUAAAUUGAAAUUGAAAGAACUAAACCGAACCGAAUUUUUUUUUUUUUUGUUUCGAUUCAAUUAUGCCCAUCCCUACUUAGUAGGCUGGGUAUCAAUUUCUUUGAAUUGUGCUUUCAUUGCAGUAAUCUCCUCCUUGGUAAUAGGUUUAAUUGCUUGCUGAUGCCACCUUUCCUCUAGUAACAACUAGUCUAACAAGCCAUCAUCGUCAAACAUGUACCUAUUAUAAGCAUCAUCCAGAAUUUGCUCUCUUUGCUUUUUGCUUAGUGUCUUCUUUGCACAAGCUAUUAUCUUAGCUUUUGUAUCAAUAUCUUUAUCUUUUGAUUCACCAGAGGAUGAAUCAUCACCGGAAUAGAGUGGUGAAGGCCCCAUAGAUUAGUGUGAUCAAGUUCUAGUGUAGUUUUGGUUUUGAUUUCAGUAUUAGGAAAAUGAAGCCUAUGAAAUUUACCAAGCUAACAUGCUUCACAAAAGUGCUUUAAUACUUGACUAUGAAUACUUGAAGAGGAUAAAUGAGGAUAAAUAAAUUUAAAUAUACAUUAGAUUUUGAGGGUUGGGAUGUCAAAACUUUUGGUGAAAAAGAGUUAGUACAAGCAUUUUUAUUGAGAUUGAAAACAUUUCUUAAGAUGAUCAAUACUAGUUACAAAAUUGGAAUGAAAAAAAAAAGGCAACAUAGACAAAGGUUUGUUUAUUUGAUUGUAAGAUAGAAAAGACUUGUAUUUAGGUUGUGGAAAGGAUUUGAGCAGCAAUUUAUACAACCUUUUCUCAGCAAAACCUUCCUCUUCAAUGAAUCCUUCACAAAACAAAUAGAUCCAAGAAAUUCGACAAAUAAAUUGUUGUCAAUGGUAAGUUUUGAAAUGCUCAAUAGAUUCUUUGUAAUGGAUGGAACAAACAGUACAUCCUUAAGUAAAAUAUGUCUUAUAUUAUCUUUUUUUAAUUCUUUUUAAAAAAAUAAGUGAAUAAUAGUAUGUCAAUCUCAAAUAUCAAUAUGUACAAUUUUUAUUUGUGUAAGAAUUUGCAUCCAAUAAUCAUCAAUACAUAAUUGUCUUUUAAUUGAAUGGUUCUCACCUCCCUUCCAAACUUUGAAAAGGUAAAAUAAGAUCAAUCAUGUCAGUGGCAAUUAAUAUAAAGAUUACUUUUCUUAUUUGUAGUAACGUCCUCUGAUUAUUUAGCUGAUUUUCAAGCUACACAUUUAUUCCAUUUGAUGUUGAUAUUAGUAAAAUUAAUGUAAUAUUUAAAAAGGAAAAAAAUCCGUCGAGCUAAAAGCCGAGUAUAAAAUUGAACCAGACCCAAACCAGAAACGCACGCCAACAACAUGUUUGCGUCAGUCGGCCCAUGCCCAUAAACCCACCAAGCCCGAUCCAAAUAGAAAAAUGAAUUGGACACCCGAGAUAGCAGAAACAGAUAAGUAACGGUCGUGCUAUCCCCAAUCUCAUAUCUUCAACGGUAUCCAGCCAACAUCUCAAAGUGUUCAAUUUUUUUUUAAGCCAAAAAAAAAUUCAAAAUUUUCAAGCGGAAUCUGGGAAGAUAGCGAUGAAAAGCAAGAUUCUGGUUAUCGGCGGAACCGGAUACAUCGGUAAGUACUUAAGGUGCGUUUGAAAUUGAGGUUGAGCAACUAUAACUUUAAAACUGCAGCACUAAAAUAUUUGGUAAACACUAAUUGUUGUAACUUAAAAGCUAUUUAAUAUAAUUUUUCACUUGUAUAAUAAAAAAUUUAUUAUCUUUAAUAAUUUUGUCAAAAUUAUUAUUUAAAAUAUAUACAGUAAGAGAGAUUGUAACAUUUUCAAUCUUUGGUUUGAUAUUCUGGAAGAAAACGAUUUGCCGUUUAUGGAGAAAACUGCUAACCGUUUAAUUUCAGAGAGCAUGUUUUCUAUUCUAGAGAAAACGGCUAACCGUUUGGAGAAAACGGCUAACCGUUUGGAGAAAAUGGCUAACCGUUUGGAGAAAACGGCUAACCGUUUAAUUCCAGAGAGCAUGUUUUCUGUUCUAGAGAAAAUGACUAACCGUUUGGAUAAAACGGCCAACCAUUAAUUACAGAGAGCAACUUAUUUGACAUUCUGGAAUAAAACGGCUCACCGUUAUUGAGAAAACGGCUAACCGUUUAUUUCCAGAGAGCGUGUUUUUGCGUCAACUGGAAAAACGGUUAGCAAGCUUAGAAAUUUCAAUUGUCAAUCGAUGCAAACUCAAACCAAAAGAGUGUUUUUUUGAAGAAGUACUAUUUUUAAUGGUUGUAUUCUUUCAAAUAAACAUCUUCUUUAUUAAAGAUAGACAAACUAUUAUAUCAUAAUUAGAUUUUGCAGGUUUCAUAUAUGUUCUGGAAAUACAAUCUUAUUUUUUAGAGAUUGUAUUCAGGAUUUGAUAUAUCUUAGGGGUAAUUUGCCAUUAAAACUCUAUAGCAAACCAAGAUUGGUGAGGGUAAAUAAAACCUUAAAGAAAAAUGUGCAAACACGUCUCAAAUCCUAAGAAAUUUUCUUUGUUCUUUGCCUCCAUAUUCUUAAAAUUUGAAAAUUCACCCAUCAAUCUUUAAGGUUUUAUUUUGAUGCAAAUAGAGGCUGAGAAGAGUUUGACGUCAUUUCUUAAUCCUAGUGUCCAUCUCGAUCGUUUUGAUGGAACAAAUUUCACUCGUUGGAAGGAAAAAUUGUUCUUUCUUCUUACUGUUCUUAAAGUGGCAUAUGUUCUUAAUCCGAAAUUGGAACCAUUUCCAGAACCAAGGGAAGAUGAUACCGAAGUUGUUAAGGCUGUAAGGAAACGUCGUGAAGAUGAUGAAUUGAUGUGCCGGGGUCACAUACUCAAUACGCGUUCUGACAGGUUAUAUGAUCUCUACAAUUUUAUGACUUCUUCGAUGGAAAUUUGGAAUGCUCUUGAGUACAAAUACAAAACGGAGAAAGAAGGUACUGACAAAUUCCUUGUCUCUAAAUAUUUUGAAUUUAUUAUGGUAGACACACAAUCCAUUCUUGAUCAAAUACAUGAGUUAUAAAUUAUUGUUGCUAAGCUUCGAGAGUUAAAAGUUAAAAUUUCUGAAUCAUUUCAAGUUGGGACUAUUAUUGCUAAAUUGCCUCAAAGUUGGAAUGAUUAUAGAAAGAAACUCCUUCAUAGUAAAGAGAACAUAACUUUAGAAGAAUUGCAAAAACACUUGGUAAUUGAAGAAGAGACUAGGUCUCGCGAAUCCAAGGAUAAACAUGAUUCUACUAAAGUUAAUGUUCUUGAAGCUAGUAAAUUCUCAAAGAAUUUUAAAGUCAAGAAUGACAAGAAAUUUAAGAGGUCCAGCACACAAAAGUUUUCUGGAAAUUGUUUCUUUUGUGGUAAGAAAGGUCAUCGCCAAAGUGAUUGCAGAUUCAAGAAAAAAAAAGAAGAAGUGAAUUCCUAUAAAGCUAAUGUUAUUGAAAACAAAUCUGAAAAGAUUUGUGCUAUGGUUUCUGAAAUACAAAUUGGCAUGAUUAUCGAAACCAAUAUGGCUGAAACUAAGUCCUAUGAUUGGUGGCUCGAUUCGGGUACAACAAUUCAUGUUUGUAAUGAUAAGAAAUUUUUAUUAUCAUACAAAGAAGAAACGGAAGGACAAAUGGUUCUCAUGGGGAACAAUAAUGCAGCCAUAGUAGCAGGGAAAUGAGUAGUUGAGAUCAACUUCACUUCUAGAAAGAAAGUCACAUUGUAUAAUGUCUUUCAUGUACCUUCCGUUAGGAAGAAUCUUAUUUCUGCUAGUUGUAUGUGUAAGCAUGGGCUUAAGAUUGUGCUUGAGGGUAAUACUUGUAUUAUCUCAAAGAAUGAAUUAUUUGUUGGGAAAGGGUAUUCUUGUGAUGGAAUGUACAAACUCAACAUUAAUAAUAAUAAUAUCAACUUAGCUUAUAUUGUUGAGUCUUGUGAUGUUUGGCAUGCUAAAUUAGCACAUUUGAAUUUUAGAUCUUUGAAAUACAUGUCUGAGCAUGGUUUGAUUAAUUGCAAUGAUGUUAAAGGUCAUAAGUGUGAAAUCUGCAUCCAAGCUAAAUUAACUAAGAAACAUUUUCUUAAAGCCGAACGAAAUACUCAAAUAUUGGAUUUAAUAUAUACCGAUAUUUGUGAGUAUAAUGGCGUUUUAACAAGAGGAGGUAAGAAGUACUUUAUCCCUUUUAUUGAUGAUUGUUCUAGAUACACUUAUAUGUAUUUACUUAGAACAAAAAAUGAAGCUUUUGAUAAAUUUAAAAUUUUCAAAGCUGAAGUUGAGAACCAAAAAGAUAAGAAAAUCAAAAUGGUUCGUAGUGAUAGAGGUGGUGAAUAUUUCUCAAUUGAAUUUAAUAAUUAUUGUGAAGAAUUUGGAAUUAUUCACCAAAGAUCAGCUCCAUUUACUCCUCAACAAAGUGGUUUGGCUGAAAGAAAGAAUAGGAUCUUCACGGAUAUGAUAAAUUCCAUGAUCCAUAAUGCAAAACUACCAAAUAAUUUGUGGGGGGAAGCAUUACUCACUGCAUGUCAUAUUCAUAACAGAAUUACAUCUUUGAAAACACAUAUAUCUCUUUAUGAAAUUUGGAAAGGAAGAAAACCAAACUUGAUGUAUUUAAGGGUCUAGGGUUGUUUAGCUUUUUAUAAAAUACAUGAUCCUAAAUCAUCAAAGUUAAGUGCUAGAUGUAUAAAGAGUGUUUUCGUAGGAUAUGCUGAAAAUUCUAAGGCUUAUAGGUUGUUAGAUUUAGAUUAUAAUGUGAUUGUGGAAUCUAGAGAUGUUGAAUUUAUUGAGAAUAAAUUUCAACAUGAUUCUAAUAUUGAAUUAGAAUCAAUUAUUGAUCAACCAUGUGUUAAUACUCCUGUUACCUCCACUAACAAUAAUAAAAGGAAAGAGUCUAUGACAUCUUUCGAACCAAUGAGGAGUCAACGUGAAAAGAAAGAAAAGAGUUUAGCUCCGGAUUUUAUUUCAUCACAAGCACUACUCUUCUUGGUUGAAGGGGAUAGAAAGAAUGUACUUAACAAAGUACCAUUAUUGUUAAAUAUUGAAAAAGAUCCAAAGACAUUUAGCGAAGCUAUGUCUUCUAGAGACGCUUCUUUUUAGAGAGAGGCGGUAAAUGAUGAAAUUGAUUCGAUUAUUUCGAAUCAAACAUGGGUCUUGGUUGAUCUUCCUCCAGGAUCUAAACCAAUUAGCAGCAAAUGGGUAUUUAGAAGAAAGUACAAUAGUGAUGGUUCUUUGCACACUUUUAAGGCUAGAUUAGUAGCCAAAGGGUUUAAGCAAAGAAAUGGUAUUGAUUAUUUCGAUACAUAUGCUUCGGUAGCAAGGUUAACUUCUAUAAGAGUGCUAUUUGCAAUUGCUUCAUUGAACAAUUUGUAUGUGCAUCUAAUGGAUGUUAAAACCGCUUUUCUUAAUGGUGAUCUUGAUGAAGAAAUCUAUAUGGAACAACCUGAGGGAUUUGUUUUACCAGGAAAUGAGAAAAAAGGUAUGCAAAUUAGUCAAAUCACUUUAUGGUUUAAAGCAAGCACCAAAACAAUGGCAUGAGAAGUUUGAUUCGGUAAUUUUAUCUCAUGGUUUUAAGCAUAAUAAUGCUGAUAAAUGUAUAUAUUUUAAAUUUACGAAUGAUUUUGGUGUGAUUAUAUGCUUGUAUGUUGAUGACUUGCUUAUCUUUGGGACAAAUAUGCAAGGAGUAGAUGAUACAAAGAAGUAUUUAACUUCACAAUUUAAGAUAAAAGAUCUUGGUGAAGUAGAUACUAUCUUAGGUGUCAAAGUGAAGAAACAUAGUGAGGGUUACUCGUUGUGUCAAUCUCAUUAUAUAGAGAAAGUGCUUCUUAAAUUCAAUUAUUUGAAAUUUAAAGAAGCUAAUACCCCAUAUGAUUCUAGUAUUAAAUUAUUAGAGAAUUCAGGCCGAGUAGUAGCACAACUAGAAUAUGCUAGUGCUAUUGGUAGCUUGAUGUAUGCUAUGCAUUGUACGAGGCCUGAUAUAGCAUUUGCAGUUUGCAAAAUGUCAAGAUUCACGAGUAACCCUAGUGUUGAACACUGGAAAGCAAUUGGUAGAAUACUUGGUUAUCUUAAAAGGACCAUUCAUUUGGGUUUAUUUUAUAAUGAUUAUCCUGAAGUACUGGAAGGAUAUUCAGAUGCUAGUUGGGUAACCAAUACAAGAGAUAAUAAAUCCACUUCUGGUUGGAUUUUUACAAUUGUUGGAGGAGCAGUUUCCUGGGCUUCAAAGAAACAAACGUACAUAACUCAUUCAACAAUGGAAAGUGAGUUUAUAGCACUCGCAGUUGCAAGCAAGGAAGUAGAAUGACUGAGAAAUUUGUUGUUUGAUAUAAUGUUAUGGCCACAACCGAUGCCAUAUAUUUCUUUGUACUGCGAUAGUGAAGCUACAUUGUCUAGAGCUUAUAAUAAAGUGUAUAAUGGAAAGUCUAGACAUAUUAGCUUGAGACAUGAAUAUGUGAAACAAUUAAUAGCAGAUGGUGUUAUUAAUAUUGUUUAUGUUAGGACUAAUAAGAACCUAGCGGAUCCUUUAAUAAAAGGUCUUACAAGAGACUUAGUUAAGGAUACAUCUUUUGGAAUGGGAUUGAAACCUUUAAAUAAUAAAGUCACCAACGACGAUAACCCAACUAUGUAGUAGUUGUACCGCUACUCCAUAGUUAAAUGGAUAAUAACAAGUUGUUGUUAUGUGACUGGUUUGGCACCGAGUAAUAAAUAAUCACAUUCGAGAUAUUCGGUGCAAAUAGCUACGAGGUUGAGGUUGAGUAUUUAUUCUUAAUGAAGUUCAAGUCUUAUAGUAGCUAAAGACAUGAUUUGAAACUUCACCUAAGUGAACAUAAGAAAUGGUGCCGUUUCUAACAAGAUCAUGGUUUAAUCUAGUAAAUGUUCAUGAAUUCAAGAUAGAGCACAAGGCCGGAAUAGUGCUAAAUAUUGGAACACAACUUUGAAAAUCUGGGAUAGCUUAUAUGUGAUGUAUCUCCGGUAUUUACUUAAGAGACAAAGUUUAAUGCUUAGCACAUUAUUGUCUUGUAAAUGCUUUGAAAUACACUCACUAAUUAAAGGUUAAAAUCGAAAGAUAUCUUUUUGUAUGUAUAAGUUUAUCAUUAAUAAAUAUGAAAAAUAUUACAAUCUAGUGGGGGAUUGUAAGAGAGAUUGUAACAUUUUCAAUCUUUCGUUUGAUAUUCUGGAAGAAAACGGUUUGCCGUUUAUGGAGAAAACGGCUAACUGUUUAAUUCCAAAUAGCAUGUUUUCUGUUCUAGAGAAAACGACUAACUAUUUGGAGAAAAUGGCUAACUGUUUAAUUCUAGAGAGCAUGUUUUCUGUUCUAGAGAAAGCGGCUAACCGUUUGGAUAAAACGACCAACCGUUAAUUACAGAGAGCAACUUAUUUGACAUUCUGGAAUAAAACGGCUCACCGUUAUUGAGAAAACGGCUAACCGUUUAUUUCCAGAAAGCGUGUUUUUGCGUCAAUUGGAAAAACGGUUAGCAAGCUUGGAAAUUUCAAUUGUCAAUCGAUGCAAACUCAAACCAAAAGAGUGUUUUUUUGAAGAAGUACAAUUUCUAAUGGUUGUAUUCUUUCAAAUAAACAUCUUCUUUAUUAAAGAUAGACAAACAAUUAGAUCAUAAUCAGAUUUUGCAGGUUUCAUAUAUGUUCUGGAAAUACAAUAGAUCAUAAUCAGAUUUUGCAGGUUUCAUAUAUGUUCUGGAAAUACAAUCUUAUUUGCUAGAGAUUGUAUUCAUGAUUUGAUAUAUCUUGGGGGUAAUUUACCAUUAAAACUCUAUAGCAAACCAAGAUUGGUGAGGACAAAUAAAACCUUAAAGGAAAGUGUGCAAACACGUCUCAAAUCCUAAGAAUUGUUUUUUGUUCUUUGCCUCCAUAUUCUUAAAAUUCGAAAAUUCACCCAUCAUAUACAUACUACAUAUUAUUAACUUUUGUUUUAUAACUAUAGUGUUUUUUUUUUACCGCAACUGUAGUUUAAAAACUACAGCACCUCAAUCCCAAACAAGACCUUAGUGGAAGCGAGCGCAAAAGCCGAUCACCCAACAUUCGCGCUUGUGAGAGACUCCACUCUCUCCACUCAUUCCAAAUCCAAAAUCCUCGACCGUUUCAAAAAUCUCGGCGUCAAUUUAGUUCUUGUGCGCCACUCUUUUAGCUUUCCAAUUUUCCCGCCAAUUUUCUUUUAUUGUGAUUAAUUAAUUAAUUAAUUAAUUAAAGUAAAGAUUUUAUAUUAUAAUUUUGUUUGCAGGGAGAUCUAUACAGCCAUGAGAGCUUGGUGAGUGCAAUAAAGCAAGUGGAUGUUAAGGUAAUGAUUAACUUAAGUAAAUGCGUUAACUAAUUACUUGGGAUUUUAAAUUCAAAUGCGUGAAUUGUUCUAAAAAAUGAUUUAUGUUUAUUAGUCAGAGAUUCUUUCCUUCAGAAUUUGGAAAUGAUGUUGAUCGCGUGCAUGCCGUUGAGCCAGCAAGAACAUCAUUUGCCACCAAGGCUAAAAUCCGCCGAGCUGUUGAGGCUGAAGGAAUUCCAUACACCUACGUAGCUUCCAAUUUCUUCGCUGGUUUGUAUCUUUCCAGUUUCUCACAGCCUGAAGCCACAGCUCCUCCAAGGGAUAAAGUGGUCAUCGUAGGUGAUCGAAAUGCAAAAGGCAAAGCGCUUCUGGAUACAUUUACUCUGUACACGCAAUGUGUGGUUACUGUUUGGGGAUAAAAAAGGAGAUUAAUUAAUAAAGAAAAUGAAAUUAUUGAGGGAUUUGCUGAAGAGUUGCGUGCACUCCUCAUUUUUCUCCACCACUCAUCUUACUUGCAAAAUGCAAUGACCAAACUAUCCUCGCCAAAGCCUAGACAUUUACUUGUGUUCAAAGGCCAUUUAAGAGAGACAAGUACAAAAAAUUAUAAAGGAUAGUGAGCAAAAGAAGAAAAUGGAAGGAGGGGAGAAUAAAAAAUGGGAGUGGGGCGUUAUCUAGGGAGGAUUUUUAUUUUUAUUUUUUUUCCUCUCUUCUCCAUGGCAUCUCUUUCUCUCUUUCUCCCACUAAGAAAUUCUUUCUUUUACACUCUAUUUUACUUUUAUUCAAAUUACACAAAAAACUUUUGGUUUUAAGGCAAUGUUUAUUAAGCCACGUGAAUUUGAAAAAGCAGGAAUAAGGGGAUGAUUUUAACACAUUAAUUCACCAACAUUAAUUGGAAAAGAUCAGUUGCCACUUCGAAUCAGAGUAAUUUCUUCGGCAAUAGCCAAAUAUUGAUAUUUGAUCUUGACACUGUAGUUAAAUCAAUGUAACUGGUUUUGUCAUUUGAUCCCCAGUAAUUUUUAACAAGGAAGACGAUAUUGGAAUUAAUUCUAUCAAAGCGGUGGAUGAUCCGAGAACACUGAACAAAAUACUUUACAUCAGACCCCGUUGCAAUAUCUACUCAUUUAAUGAUCUUGUGUCUCUGUGGGAGGAAAAGAUUGGCAAAGCCCUUGACAGGGUCUAUGUUACAGAGGAACAACUUCUGAAAAACAUUCAAGGUUAGUUAGAACUAUCACUUUAUCAAGUGCAUAGAUGUAACUGACCGAUAAUGGAAUUUUUUUUCCUUCUCCAAAAUGCGAUAGAAUCUAAUCGGUUUCAACAAUCUCAAGAACACCUAUUCAUGGUUGUGUUGUUUGAAAUCUGUAUGUAUCAGUUUUCUUUCUAGAUCUCAGAUUGCUCGCAAGGAUGUCAAGUUUUGAUGAUGCUUGCCUGUUUUCCUGUGUUUACAGAAGCUUCAUAUCCACUCAAUAUGAUAUUACCUAUUGGGCACUCUGCCUAUGUCCUGGGAGAUCAGACCAACUUCGAAAUUGAACCUUCAUUUGGAGUAGAGGCAACAGAGCUUUAUCCAGAUGUCAACUACACUACUGUGGAUGAGUACCUCAACCAGUUCAUAUAAACCUUCUGAGAUGAGCAGCAGGAUCCUAACAAAAAAUUGGGUGGUUUCCAUCCCUGAUUCUAUGGUAUAAAGAUAGCGGCUUUCCCUGCUUUUGCCAGUUCAAUGAAGUUUGUUAGAUGAUGUUAUUUAUACUAUACUAGCAAAGAUCAAGUUGCCUUUCUUGUCAAGAAGCCAAGCUCUGGCAUUGGUUUAUGCUAGUUUUUCAUGUUUAUUACUUUUUUUGCAUUCAAAAUGAUAAAACUGCAGAGGUUGUUGCAUGCACGUCAUUUGUUAGUAGGGGUAUCAAUUUAUGAACGUAUGAAGUAUCUCUUCUGCAACGGCAUCCUCCUUAACUGUCAGUAGGAUCACAAUAAGUCGACCAACCAUCUACCGUAUGGAUUAUCUAUAAAUUGAAAUUGGUGUGUAUUAUGGAUCUGUCACUCUGCUGUUUCUGUUUUCUUUUCUAUUUUUACCAAGAAAGAAACAUUGUUAAAACUGAAUGGUUGUUAUCUCGUCUUGUUGUAAUGUUGUGUAUGCUUUCUAGAAAAUAAUGAAGUGCCAAAUAUGAAAAUACUAGUGGCUACCUUACCAUCCUUAAUAAGUUGUCUGAUUGUCACCGUCAACAAUCACUCUCAGCAACUCAUAAUCCAUUUAAGCAUAUUAUAAAAUAAUCAAUUUUGUAUUUGCACCAACUUUUAGUUUUAAAUGACAAUUUCGUUGAUCCCCACACUUCUGUACUAAUCAAAUCCACUGAAACUGGACUUUUUUUUCUUUUUUUUUAUAAUUACAUCGAUUGCAUUGGCUAUUGCAGGGAAAAGACUGCCUCUACAGGGAACUAAACUUUCAGAAUUGUUCUUAUGAGGGUUUGAAUAUGCUCUCGUACUAGGUCAAUGGCCUAUUGGUUCGAGACCAUUCACAAAGAAAGAAAUGAGUUUUGCUUGUAUAAAUGAAAGAAAUCCAAAUGAUAACUAAUGUAUAGUGGUACAUGAGAAAAAUAAUUUCAGCCCGUGUAAAGUCAAAAAGAGAAAAUAUUAAAAGAAAGGAUAAUGUCAUUGAGUUCGGUGAAGUGAAAGAAAAUGAAAAACAUGGGAUUUAGUCAAACUUAGUGUCCCAAUCAGCAGAAAAAGGUUUUAGAAACUCACCUCAAGUUAAGCCAACUAUUAGGAGCUUUAUUUAAUCAUGACUUUCUAAUGUAUAGUACUCCAAUACUAAACGAGGGCUACCUCUACGCUUGCAAUUGUAAAUGAAAUUGAGUUCGUGACGCACAAUGAAGUGAGCAAAAUGAGUUGAGAUCUGAGAAUAUAUUAAAGAAAAUAUGAAUCAAUGAAUUUUGGUUAAAAAAAACAAAUGCUGGUUCUUCAAGACCUGCGUGUAUUGUGUAAGUUUUGUUAGGAGAAGGAAAGCAUUUUGGUCUAAAACGCACUAAAUCGGAUUCAUUUGCUUGAUAUCUAAUAAGGGUGAAUUAACCACUCGCCCACAGCAAUUCAAGUCCCAAAAAAAUUAUUGUGGGGGCUAAAUUUCUUCUUUAAUUAUAACAAAUAAUUGAGUGGAGGAUAAAAAUUUAGGCCAUGUAUAACAAUAACUAAUAUAAACUAGUCCUAAUAAUAGUAUAAUUGUAAAUAUCAGUUGUAGUCUCAUACAAUAUAAGUUUAUAGAUUAUAAUAUCGGCAUAAAAAGAAAAAUGAUAUCUGACGGUCAAUCAAUAAAAGGACAAAAACUUGGAGUAACAUACCACAAAGUCAAUGUAGCUGGACAGAUGAAUAUAAUAUGUAAACAAAUUUAAAUGGGAUAAUACCAUACGGUACAUACAUAACAUUUUAAAACUGAAUUAAAAAAAUAAAAUUAAAACUGAAUUGGAAUUCGUAUGUGUAUCCAGCUACCUUGCAACAGUUGUAAGGUACCCUAACUUUGCAACAAUUUCAUCCUUCGUGCAUUCGGUCACAAAGUCCAAAUUAGGCACGUUUAAGAAUCGAACUGAAAAACUAAAAAAAAAGAAUCCGGCGAUAUUUGCGAACCGGAAACGAGCCAGCGUUAUGCUUAUGUCAUUUCAGAGAUAUCAACAGUCGUGCUUUCAGUCCUUAAACCUCAAGGGCAUUUUCGUCCUUUCACUCAAGCGUGAAACUGCAUGUAAGAACUGCUUCGCUUACACGCUCCAUGCACAUUUAAAGGCACCACUGUCGGAUAAAAAAUAUCCAUCCAUUUGAUCAUUUCAAAACAAAACGAAAAAAAAAAUCUCAGUAAUUGAACUGAACGAGUCUCAGAAAUGGCAUCGAAAAGUAAGAUUCUAUUCAUCGGCGGGACAGGGUAUAUCGGUAAAUUCACUGUCGAAGCGAGCGUAAAAGCCGGCCACCCGACGUUCGUGCUCGUGAGAGAAUCCACAAUCUCUGGUCCUUCCAAAUCUCAACUCCUCGAUCACUUCAAAAACCUCGGCGUCAAUCUUGUCAUAGUGCGUUUUCAUUUUUCUCUUUUCUUUAUUUUUUAUUCCGAUCAUUUUUACACGUCGAAGUGUAGCAUCUACUACUUAAUAUACAUAAUGAUAUUAUUAUUUUUUAAUUUUUUUGGGUUGCUGUUAUUAUUAUACAGGGAGAUGUGUUGAAUCACGAGAGUUUGGUGAAGGCGAUAAAACAAGUGGACGCGGUGAUAUCAACAGUUGGUCACACUUUAAUAGCCGAUCAGGUCAAGAUUAUUGCUGCCAUUAAAGAAGCCGGUAACGUUAAGGUAUGACAUAAUUAAUGUAAAUGUCUUAGAUUUCGAUCAGGAUUGUGCACUCGUGCACACGUGGUGAUUUAUUCUUCGUGUGGAGCUCGCUGUAGAGUAGAGCUCCCAGUUCCGCUAAUAAACACCCGUCAGAUGCGCAAUUGCGCCUCAAAAUAAUUUAAUUAAUUAAUUAGGUAUAAACACCGAUGGCAUGAAAGCAAUUAAAAUUAGUUGAUGUUUAUAAAUUAUUUAUUACUCAGAGAUUCUUACCAUCGGAAUUUGGAAAUGAUGUUGAUCGAGUCGAAGGCGCCGUAGAGCCAACAAAAUCGACGUAUGACGUAAAGGCGAAAAUCCGCCGAGCCGUUGAGGCAGAAGGCAUUCCGUACACUUACGUAGAAUCUUAUUGUUUUGAUGGGUAUUUCCUCCCCAAUUUGUUGCAGCCUGAGGCCACUGCCCCCCCUAGGGAUAAGGUUGUCAUCUUAGGCGAUGGAAAUCCAAAAGGUAAUAUAAUUUAAUUAAGCUCUGUUUGUUUGGUAUGUAUUGCGGUGUUAAUGUUAUUGUCUGUUGUACAAUGGAUGGUCUUGCUUGGUACUGUUGUUGGAGAGCUGCAGUGUUUUGAUAAACACCUCUAUAGUCUAUCCUUAUCCUUAGCUUUCAAGUUAAGUUGAUUUUAUACAACACUUGUUUAAUUAAAAACUUGUAAUAUUCUUACUACUUUGAUAAAAAAAAUAUUACGAUUAAAGUAUUAAUGGCACCAUAAUACGAAAUGAAUCUUAAGUGGUCAUUAUAGAUUUUAAGAUAGAGUUUUAAGUGAUUACCAGAUACUUUAGCUGCUGAACCGCCACAUCAUGGUUGCCACACAACAAUUUCAAACAGAACCUAAAUAACUUCAUUGCAAAACAGUUAAAUGAAUCUAACUUAGUUUCGUCGUUUGAUUUUCAGCUGUUUUUAACAAGGAAGAUGAUAUUGGAACCUACACUAUCAAAGCGGUUGAUGAUCCGAGAACCUUGAACAAAAACUUUUACAUUCAGCCUCCCGGUAAUAUUUACUCAUUCAAUGAUCUUGUGUCUCUGUGGGAGAGAAAGAUUGGUAAAACCCUCGAAAAGGAGUAUGUUUCAGAGGAGCAGCUCCUAAAGAAUAUUCAAG
This 56993-nucleotide long non-coding RNA is filed under the name Citrus maxima (pomelo). RNAcentral's name for it is "long non-coding RNA (CMAX_LNC003344)". Lineage: Eukaryota; Viridiplantae; Streptophyta; Magnoliopsida; Sapindales; Rutaceae. The record is from RNAcentral.